CUCGUCCUCGUCUGGCUCGCAGGUUGCCACAUCGGGUCAGCUGGAGGAGAUCAACACCAAAGAGGUGGCCCAGCGCAUCACCGCCGAGCUGAAGCGCUACAGCAUCCCACAAGCGAUCUUCGCGCAGAGGGUGCUGUGCCGGUCUCAGGGGACUCUCUCCGACCUGCUCCGGAACCCAAAACCGUGGAGUAAACUCAAAUCUGGCAGGGAGACCUUUCGCAGGAUGUGGAAGUGGCUGCAGGAGCCCGAGUUCCAGCGUAUGUCUGCCUUACGCCUGGCAGGUAAGCACAGAGAGAGGGUCUCCUGGAGCCAGGCUGCUGUGGAGAGGGCUCCGGGGUUCUUGUGGCCCCAAGUCAGCGCGCCUAGUCUCGGUUCUUUCCUCCUCUUCACUAUGCACUUCCUAUUUUCUCUCGAAUUUCUUUCUUCUACUGUCAUUUCCUCUUUCUCCUCCCUUCUUCCAUUUCUGUUCUUUUUCUUGUGCAUUUUCUUAACUUCUCUCUCCCCCUCCUGUCUUCCAGCUUUCAUUAACCGACCCCCCCCCACCACGUGUCAUUCACCCUCCCCUGAAUGUGCCAAUUUUACCCUCCAUUUCUGACCUUCUCUAGUUGUGGGACAAGGGACGGGGGGUGUGCAGUGUUCACUAGGAGCCUUCAAGACUCACAGAGACUGAGGAUUGGCCUUUUUCAAAGCCCUGUGCACUUGAACUCUUGUUGAGACAAUACAUUUCAGUUUUCCAGGCUGCCCGGUCUCCCUAUUUGGAGGCAGUUGAGGGGUUUUGCUCUUCAGAAUGGAAAAAAAGUCUGCGUUCUCGUCCUACCCGUCAUAGCAGGAAAACUUCUUUAGUUAUUAGCAGGAGUCACAAUCUUGACCGCUGGGGAACGGGUGGCUAGGUUACAACAGCGCUUCCCAAGCGCAGCUCGGGCCUUGGGGUUGGCGUGGGGAGUUUGUGACCGAAAGAGCCGGCUUCGGCCAGUUCCCACGUCUCUGCCUACAGAAAGGGGAGGGUGGAAGGACGAAGGGUGGGACUAACACAUUCGCCUCUACCAGGAUUUGGGAGAAAAAACAAGAAUGCAGAGCUCCCUGACGAACUCGCGGGCCAAUGUUGCCCGGCUCCCAGCUUUUGCUGGGAUUUGCCAAGGUUUGGCUUGGCUUGGAGAGAAGCUAGGCGCUUCCGAAGAGAGGUGCUGAAAAAUUAAGAUGCAGGUUAGUUAAUGCAUCUUGGCCACCGGCUACAGGCUCCGCCUUUGCAUUAAGCGGACGCUGAUUGUGCGCUGUAGCGCGGCUGCGGGGAGGGCUGGCGGCCCGCGGGAGGGGACGGGUCGACGCGCUGGUUACAUUGUUCUGGUGCGGGCUUGGUUCUUUGUGCCUCCUCUAGCGGCCGAGCCGCGAGGUACAGCCCUCUAUUGUUCUAGGAGCAAGGAUACCUCCUGUGUGGGCGGCGGGAGCGAGAGAGAAGGACGCAGCAGUGGCUGCGACUGGCACAGAGUUGCGCGCUUUUGUGCGCACAGACCCAGCGCGGUGCGCGUGGCAAUUGCGCUGCCCCCCUCCCCCCAGGACCUAGCCGCCGUCCCAGAGAGGCAGAGGUUCACCGCGCCCCACUGGGGAGGGCACAGAGUACCCCACUGCAAGUCCGGAUGGGCAGUUUCUCUUGCACUGGGCCCAUCUCUCCAGAUCGGUGGGCCACCAAAGGGGACAAAUCGUAGUGGCAGCGAUUUACAUGGGUGCGGGAGGUGGUUUGUGCGUUGUGUGCGGCCAGCACGGUUCGGAGCCAGCUACAUACAACGCGCUUCCGGAGCCGCAAGCUCAGGCUUCCUCUCCCGCUCCCUGGGGCUUUCCCCGCACCACUGAGCCUGACUUAUGGGGUGCACUCUACCGACGCCGGAUGGGGCCGGGGGCGUGUUCACCCAGGCUUGGGAGGGGGCGUUUCCACUCUGACCGCCUCCGCCUUUGCCGGCUGUUGGAGGAUUCUGAUCUUCAAGCAGUAAUCGUCCCACAGUACUGAUCUGAAAAGGCAAAAAAACACAAACAAGAAGCAAACAAAAAAACUAGCUAUCCCCCCAAAAGCUUCCCUAAAUCGGUGGACUCCUAAUACUUUUGUGUGGGUUCACUGAUCUUUCUCUUUUAGCUUACUCUUCAUUCUCUCCUACAAUUUUCUCCUAUUUGCUCUUGGUUCCUGGGAAAGAUUGAGCAGUGAAUAGAGAGCAGAGGUGAGAAAUAUACUGGAGGCUUACUGACACUUCUGAACAGUGUGGUGCCCCUUUGUCUUAGGCCCGAAAACACCCCCCUAGCCCCUCUCAGGUAAUGUCUAGCAUAGGCUGGCUUCCUGGGCACAGGCGACCAGAAGGAACGUGGCAGCUGGAGUGGAGGAUACAGUUAAAGGCAGGAUGACAUCUAUUCUAUUCCAGACCAUCUCAGAGCGCUGCCGCCCCCUCACGCCUGUCCAGCAAAGGACAGAGCUUUAGAAAGAGAAAGAAAGAAAGAAAGAAAGAAAGAAAGAAAGAAAGAGGAAAAAAAGAAAAGGAGAAAGAAAGAAACCAUGUGCCUUUUGCCCACGUAUGUCUGAAAGUGAUGGGGCAAGUCAUGCUUUAUCUGUUAGCCCUCCUCAGCUUUUCCAAUGGCUCAAGCAUUGCUGGGGUGAGAGAGAGUGUGGCAUGCCUGGGGGUCUCCAGUCCCACCACCCACCCUAGGAAAAUCACGGUGCGGGCAUACUCCUCGGAGGCUGGACUCCGGAAGCGUGGAGGCUUUCCUGAGAAGGAGCCCUGAAGCCACCUGCACAGGAGACUGAAAGCCUCCUUCGGCGAGUGGGAAAUCCUGCUGAGGACCCCGCUUUGCUCAAGCAUUCAAAUGUGUGUCUGUUUUAUUACCCCGAGUUGAAAAGGGACAAGAGCUUUAGCCUUUUUAUCUGGCCAUUUGAUCAGCAACUACAAGUGUGUUGAGUGGUUAUUAUUACAUAGGAGGCUUUUCAGUUUGGGGUCAGUAGAUCAGUCUCUUCAGACACCGACGCAGAAGCUAGGACUGGUAAGUAGGUAUUAUGUGCUCAGGAGCGCUAGGGGACAGGAGCAAAUGGAGAAGAAAAGCAGAGGCCUUCUCGCCAGGAAUAUCGAUCGGAAUCCCCGCAGGGACGCCGCUGAGGGCCCACACGGUUCGGCUCUGGGGUUAAACAAGCCCAGUGGCUCCACAGGGCUGCUGAGGCUCACUGCCAGGCCAGAGCCUGGGAGAGCUGGCUCCUGCCUCCCCACCCCCACCCCAGCUCACCAGAACUAGGCCCCAUUUGUCUCCCAUAAUCUCCUUUUAGUUUCCCUUUCAUUUUCUCAUUUUUGACCCCUUUGGGUCUUGCCAGAGGCCCAAGCAUACAGGGAUUUGAGGGACCUCAAAAUUAAGGUGUCUGAUUCGGACCAGCUCCUGCAGAUCUCACCUUUAGGUGAAGCAAACCCGGCACAACGGAAGCAGGUCCUCCCUCCACACGUACCUGCCUCCCACAGGUCUAUCUCCUCCUUGCCAACUUACUUGGGUGUAUCCACACCCGAGGGUGGCAUUUCAAAGGUAAGGGAGAAGACAUCAGGGAAACUCAAAUUGCCCCAGCACUACGUUUCAGAGAAACAGACUCCAAGUAAACGGUUUCGUUGGGAAAGGGUGGCCAAGGCAGCAUGUGGUUGUAAUCGCACCCACUUGGGCCUCGUUGGCAGUGGUUCCAGAGGCAGGCUCCUGAAAGGCAGUUUGUGUUACCCCAGCAAGAUGCAGCAAGGACAAAAUCCCGCGGAUUUGAACCCAAAGAUUCCCUGGCUUUGAGCCCAAGAAGCCUCUGAACCAAACACAAACAUGAAAAAGGAGGGACUGAAAAAACCCAGGCAAAAACUGGACGGGCGCCUCUCAGAGGAAAAUCGAGGCUUUCCUGGCAGGCGAGUGGUCUCCUCCAACGCCCUGAAGACAGAGCAGAGCCUCUGAGCACUAAGGUUUGCACCUUGCAAGGCGGCCUGCUAGGAACCUGCCACAGUUCCCGGUGGCGGACAGACAUAAGGCCUUCUUCAGACAGCAACUCCCAGCGGCCACUCUAGAAUCAACUCUGUUGUAACGGCCGAUGCCUUUCACCAACCUGCUAUCGCAUCGUCUGGGCCACCUGAUGCCCGCAGCGGCAGAGCAUGGCCGGGACAGUCCCCAGCGGCUUUUGCCAGGAGCACCACGGGCAUGCGUGUCUCCUUUGGCGCGGGGAAGUCUUGGGCUAUGCUGGCCGACCGGCAUCUUCUAAGCGGAGAGGCGGGGACCUCAUUUUAAGAGCCUCACACCCCAGUUCCCUCCGGCUAGUGCGACUCCCGGCCCAGCUCAGCCCAUUUCUCCCCGCAGUUUAGCUCGGAUCCGAGCUCGAGAGACCGAGCGCAAUCUCCGUCCGUCCGUAUGGAACACAAGAUGUUUUCGCCUGCUGGCUCGUCGGAUUAAUAAUUGAAAAGCAACUGUUCUUGUGUGGUCAAGUCCCGGGUGCCUGGAGAACACCUUUCUAACACGCGUUAGGGGGAGCGGGAGCGGGAGGAAAAGGCAGGACUCGAGGGAGGGUAGUGAAGCCGAGCGAGAGAAGUAGCCCAGGCCGCCAGGCGCCCUCGACGCGAGCGGCUGUGCAUUUAUUUUUAUUCCAGGCUUUCCACCGUGUGGUUAUGUCACUUUCUCAAACAAAUGUGUAUAUGGAGGGAGAUCGAUGCUGAUAAUGUUUAGAAGAUUAAAAGAGCAUUAAUGCUGGCAACAAUAACGUAAACGUGUGGACCCAGAUCUCAUUGAUCUGGAACCUGAUCCGGCGCGUUUCCAGUAAGCCCGACGGCGCGCUCUUCCCAGCAGAGCGCUCGCCAGCGCCCCCGCUCCCCAGCGCCCCGUCUCCCCGGCGCUCCCGCCGCGCCGCUUUCCGGGCUCCCGGCGGACCCACGGGUCGGGCUGCGGCUUCUCCACCGCGCAGCCCCAGCUAGCCCUUUCCCAAGGCUUUCUCCAGUCGCGGAGCUGCUAGCCAUCCCCGUGGUCCCCGCGCGCGCGCACACCGCGUUCUGAGCUCUCUACGGAGGGCUCUGUAGGUGGCUGAGUCCGCGAAGGAACUGCACCAGACGCGCCGCCGAAGUCCUCCCCGCUCGCUCGUUCUCGGGGGACCGUAGCGGCCCCCGGCGGAUCGAACACUGUCCGGCUCAACUUCUUUCUUUCCAUCUAAACCCACCCAGGAAAUUCGACCUCCCUCUCGAUAUGCGGAAACGACCAAGCCCAACUGGAAACGUCUCUAAAGCUGCCUGUUAAAUGCGCAGCUUCCCGAUCCUCGGAUCCCUUCGCACCCUUCCUUGUUUUCAUUAGAAGGGAACAUUCGCACUGAAGUGUUCGUAUUCGCAGACGUUCUACACUGAUGCAUUAGUUGGGCAUUCAAAUGCGGCCCCGGUGACAAAGGCUUGGGCUUCAUCCCUCAGAACGGUCUGCCCUGGGCUAAUUAGGUCAACCAGGGAAGAACCUUAGCUCCUAUACCGGCUGGGGCAGGAAGGUAAGAAAAUCAGACUGGGGAGCCCCACCCCACCCCUUCCCACCAGCUGGAGAGAACUUGUGCUCUGAGACUCGGGUCAGAGGUUUUCCCUGAGGCACCUGCAGUGACUGGAAAAGAAAGAACUUUUGAGUUCUUCCUUCCUUCCCCCCUGGGAGAUGUCCACGCUGUGCCCCACUGCUCCCCUUGCCAAGUGGUGGCUUAUUUCAGAAGGAACACUAAGGUGAAUUUUACUGAAAUUCAGGGUGAAAGAGCUUGGAUGGUAAUGGAGGGGUGCAAUAGGAAUUAAAUUGUUCUGGCUUUUUGAAAUUCUCAAUCCUCCAACCGGUGAAAGCUAAGUUUUUCUUUCAAGAGGAGGUCUCAAUCUGGAAGGAAAGGAGUGUUUUCCUUCCUUUGCCAAGAACGAAAUGGGGGAAAUGAAGAAGGAGAGAGAAGAAGAAAAAUCUUUAAUUGUUCUGCUUUGAGGUGUGCCAGAGGGUGAACUGGUAUUUCUUUCUGUCAUUCCCAGAGACGGGGUUCACCUUCUCACCGGUGGACUUCCUUAAAGAAGGGAGCUUUGGUAUAGCACCUGAUUCCUAGUCAGGAUAUAUCUUACCAGCACCCCCCCCCCCAAACACAUUAACGUGGGUCACAUGGUCAUAUACAGAAAACAAGAAUACCUGAGUGGCAUCCUUCAGGUCGGGAAGACAACUGCCCCCCUCCCCAGAGGCCCCACGUGAAGAGCUCCUAGGUUCUGGGAGGGGUGAGCAGGCUUAGACUCUCCUCCAUACCCAUCUUAGAAUCCCAAGAAUAGGGCAGGGAUUCUGGUGAAUGGUGAGGGUAGGGCAGAGGGGAAACUGAUUGCCUCAGAUUUUGUCUCCAAGAGGAAAAAUGCUUUACCUCCUUCUAGAGCCACAUCUGCCCAGCGGUAACAGGGGUCUGAACCCUGAGGGAAGGAGAGCCUGUUUUGCUUUCAUCUUCAAUCUGAGACUUUAUUGUCGGGUCACUUCUUGGUUUUCUGGCCUUUAGAAUCUGUUUCUAAAGGAAUAUCAGAGGAAAGAGGUUGAAGGAAGAAAGUACUGGACCCCACCACACUACAGCUGGUGGCUGGUGUUGGCAGAAACUGUCUUCAGGGAGAGUGGUAUCAUGAAGGGGAAUCCCUGGAGGAAUGAAAGCCUCAAAGGAAAAGCAGAGAGAUUUAAUUUCUGGGUUCUUGCCAAAGGAAGGGAAGUGAGAAGGGAAUAAAUAGAAAUAAUUGCCUGGAUAAAGGACCCUGAGGAAAAGGGUGAGUAUUGAGACACCCCGGGCCUUAAACUUUAUCUGUGGGCUCUCUGGAUUAUCCUCACCCCUGACCAUCUCAGAGAUGCUCUGCCCACCCCCCCCCCCCCCCCACCUGGGGAAAGUCAUUUCCUCCAGGGGAUACGUUUCUUGGUGGACAAAGAGAACAUUAUGAAGAAGCCUACUGGGGUCAUUUAUGCUAUCAGGUGCAGAGCCUGCUCAAGAGAGGCCAGAAGCCCAUCAGUACCCUCAUCACCCAGUCUGUUUCCCUACCCCACUGCCGUGCUUUUGGGAAAGGCUUUUUGUUUUCCAAGUCUCACUCAAGGCAACAACUGAAAAGUGUGCAUAGGUUUCUGUAUCAGCCCAUCUGGUGCCAGACAAGGUGCAGGAUGGGCAAGGCACAGAGGCAGGCUGUCGACAUGCAUAUAGAGAUGGUCUUACUUGGGAAGCAGGAUUCCUAGAACUUGUGUACAUUCUUUAUGAAAAACUGUCCCCACGCAAAUUGCCCCGGAGGGAAGGGAGGCACUGCAUUCCACCCUGAUGCCUCUGUUGCCAUUUGAAGAUCCAUUACUCUUCUGCAGAAAGCAGACUUUGUUUGGGUUGGAAGCACACCUCCAACGUAAUUUAAUCAGCAUUGGACUUUGGCUCGUGUAAUCAAAUAUACAUAUACUUUCUCCUGCAGGAAGAAAAAUAAUUUCUCUGUAACUGGUAUUGACUUGAAGUCAUGUAAUCUCUGGAAAGCAUCACACUUUUAAAGGGAAAGGUAAAAUUAAGGGGGAAAGAACCCACAGUUGUAGUGGUUUGCCUUGCCAUUGCUAAGAGAGCCAGUUACCACCUAAGAAAGGGCUGCUCCAAUUUUAGAUAUUUCAUGCCAGCUGCCUCUGUGUAGUCAGCCUCCCACAUUUAUAUAGCAGGAACCAGGGUUGACUGGCUCACCAGAUCCUGGGAAUCUUUGGGCUGAGACAUCCUUGGAGGACCCUAUUCGAUGUUCCACAGGCAGCAGCAGCAGCAGCAGCAGCAGGAUCUCAGUGGGCAGCCAGCCCCCUUCUUUAACUGUGAUUGGUAGCUAUUGCCAGCCCACUCCCUACUCCACCCACAGGGCCUUGAGCAUGAAGCCCUACCCUAGAGCAUCCUCCUGGAGCGAUCCUGGACUCCCCACCCUCCGGGCGAGGCUUUGGGCUUUACCCAAGUUGAGUCUGUUAGGGAAUCUGUUGUAAACACAGAUCCAUUGAUUUGCAUUUGUCAGAGAGUAAAGUUAAACCAGUGAAAAGAGAAGCCCUUACCCUUUUAUGCAGGGCCAGGGAAACCUUUCAUAUUGAUCCUAUUGAUCCAACCUUUCCCUUUAAGGAAACCACAUAGUUAAAGACCCUCGUUCAAUAGAUUUACCCUUCGCGCUUGUGAUAUUCCUUUAAGUGUUCUCAUCUAGGAUAGCUGGGCAUUAAGCCCACACUCCAAACCAAACAAAAAUGAAAAGGAGGGUAGGAGGGGAGGGGUCAGGAGGCAGAAUUGUGGGAAGUGAAAUUGAACCAAACUGAAAUGUGUAAUGACUCGGUUGGAGAUGUUUUUCUCAUUCUUCUAAGAUGACACGCAGGGUUAAGAACAAAAUAGAUGCACUUAGCAUCUCUCUCUCUCUCUCUCUUCCACAAAAGAAAAUCUGUUUAUAUGCUAGAGUAGCAGUGUUUCAAGAACAUCAUUUUCUACUGUAAAAUUAUUUCAAUCAAGCCACUAGCUGGGUUCAUUCAAGCUCAUACUUAAAAGCAGUUAAUACUUCCAUAAAAAUUAUUUUGCUUCAUUUGUAGCAAAUCAGGAAUACAAUAGAACUGUCCCCAGAAAUGCAAUAUUUUGGACUAUGUAUUUGAGCGUGGACACUGAAGUCACUUCAGAAGAAAGAGCGCUUGGAGUUUUGUGUUCUGAUAGAAGUGGGUAGAAAACAGACUGAUAAUAAGGUAAAACUUUUUUUCUUUUUUCUUUCUUUCUUUUUUUUCCUUUUUCUUUCUUUUUUUUUUUUUUACAGAGCAGUAUAGAUGGAAUAGGAGUUGCUAACUAUUGAUCAGUAUCCCUCAUGUUUGCAGAUAUGAAAAUGAAAGUCCCCUUUGUUUCCAGAACUGUUGGUACAAUCCAUUUCAUUUCUUCCUUGACCCUUUUUUGUUCUGUAAAUAAUCCAUGUCUGAUUUUAUUUUCAACAUGGUACAUGCAUUAUUCCUAAUUGGCUAGCUUUUGGGUUGUGUUCAGACGUUCAUGUUUGUUUUCUGUGAUUGAAAAAUAUUAAUGAUUCCUUAGGUGAGCUAAUGUAUUUAUCUGCUGACUGAGUUCAAAGGGCAGAGUUCAGCUAUGGUUCAGGUUAAUUGAACAGGAAGCAGUGAGCUCUCCGGGCUGUGUUGAGCAAGGGACCAGUCCCUUAAAAUAUCACACUCAGCAAACACACAAUUUCACUGUCCUCAUCGUGGAGUCUGAUGUAAGAGGCUCAGAUCAACUCGGAUUGCCUGUUUAAAAACCCAAAGCAAAGCACAGCAACUGCAACAAGCCCUCAGAGUCCCCCUCGGGGAAGAAGAGUUUUCUCAUUGGCUAAUUGCUUUAUUGGUAGCACUGACCUGCAGAGCAGCUGCAGGGGCCUGGAUGAAGGCUUAGGCCUCAUAAUAAUGUGCUCCAUUAGAACAGGGCAAGGCAUUUUUUGUUUACUCAAUUGGAGCUCCCUGCAAAGUGCCAUUAACCCCAGCCCAAUCGUGUGUGUGCUGCAAAAGCCAAAGGUCACACCAGUCAGGCUGUAGGCAGAGCCUGCUCUGCCCUGGUGGGAGGGAGGGGGCAUCCUGCUGGCAUUGCCUUCCCCAAGCUUGGCCCAGCCCUAUAGGCCCCUCCAGGGCUUUGACCACAGCAAGCAGUUGCACAAUCUGUUUACAUUUCCCAAUUGCUGAAUCAUGUUAUUGAUGAUUAAACAGUUCUGAUCUAAGCACCAUCAAUCACACCAGAAAAAAAAAAAAUCCUCCCACUGACCCUCUCUUUUCUAUUUAUGUUUUGUUCAUUGUGCAUUACAGUAAAUAGAAUUGUGCAAACAGUGCUUAUUAGCAGGAAUAUAGUCUGGAUAAGUGCUUGGAUCAAGAGGAAGACAGACCUGCAAACAUGGCUGGGGGUGGGGUGGAGGAGUUCUUAGCAGAAAGAAGGUUUGAGAUGGAGCCCCAGCAUAGUCAGGGCUUCUACAGAGAGCACCUUGAGCUAGAGUGCCACCUGCCGGGAGUCUUCUAACUGCAGUAAGUCUUGCACCUCCCACAAGGCUCAAGCCCCUUCCUUUACUUUGUUCCUAGUAUCUGUGUCCCCAUUCCUCACCCUCCAGACCACUACCCACAUUUUCCUAGGAAUUUCUUGCAGGACUUUUUCCUUUUUCCCUGGUACUCUAGCCUCUGCCUCUCCUAAUUCAUUGGUUCUGCUGUGAUGGGUAAGGUGAUUUGCCCACUCUGCACACUGAAGUAAUAGUCUCCUCUUUCUUGGGAGAGAAGGGGCGGAGAAAGCAAAAAAUAUGUGUGGGAGAGAAGAGGAAUGGUUAUGUGUGCAGGAGAAAUGCCUCAGUUGAUGGUGCCAGUGAGAACUCUACCAACUGUAAGGUGCUCUGGAAAGGUAAUAUAUUGUACAAAGGAGGGGAGUGGGAGAAAAUUAGUACUGGCAGGGAGGACAUCAGGAAAGAGAUAUGCCAAAUCAGCGAGCCAGAGGUGGGCCCUGUGAAAUCCCCUGGGAAGAAAGAAAAGUGAAGCAGCCGUUUUGCAAUUGCAAAGAAGUGAGCCAGUGAGCUAGAUUUGGAGCCAAACUGUGGAGCUGACCGUAUCUCUGUGGGCAGCAGCUUUUUCCAGACUCGCCUCACAUCGAUCUCGGCCCAGAGCCCCUGGCUGCCUAACGCCUGUGGGUGGGUUGCCGCCUCCGCGCCCGACGCGGGGUUCAGCACCACGAACAGCGCCACGGAGCGCCCCAGAGACUGCCCGCCUGGGCUGCGGUCUGAGCGAGUUUCCAUCUCAACCCAGAGAAGAAAAAUGGGUUCCUCUACUCGGGUUAAAUUCAGGCAGGACCCUGAACAGUAGCUACAGCUCUGUAGAUCUCGGCGCCCCAGACAGAACAGGGCUUCAGAUUUUCCUCUCGAGCCCCAUGGCUUCCGUUCUCUGUGUGAGGUCACCGAUAAUAGAGAGAGAGGAAGCGAUGCCAAGUCAGAGGACAAAAGAUGCUAAACGACCCUUUCCUUCGGAAGAGGAAGAACAUUACCUCUGUUGGGAGGGCUGAAGGAUUGAACUGUUUUUCCCCAUGUUACUAGCUUGUGCAGACACUGAUUACAGCUCUCAACAAGAUAUUUUAGAUUUGGGUUUUCUUUCCAGGUUUACAGUCUAGUUGCCCCACACAGGUGUACACAAAUGGAUGCUUUUUCCCCCUACCAACAUGCUGAUUUUUGAAAACAUGGUUUUCAUUAUAUUGAACAAUAUUCUCACGUUGUAUCAGCACUAAUGUUGCAGGGAGAGCCAACUAAGGGACAUCACUACCUCCAAUAAGUCUUGAAACUGGGUUCGAUUUCUUGAGAGCCAUCUUUGAUGGGCUCCCUUUAAGAACCUCUGCACCACUCUGUGGGCCAAGGGUUGAGUCACUUCCUCUAGGUCACACAGUGGAGACAGGUGGGCCUAGCCAGGGUGAGAACUGACAUUAGGCACAGACCCCUGACUCUGGCCAUUUUUUAAUCAGUUGCUCUGCUUUCUUUGUAUUUUUAUUCCAGAGAAAAGAGACAGAUAGAUGGGUCCUUAUGGUCUAUAAUAGGGCACAACUCACCUCUCUUUGGAUUUCUAGUAAAAAUAUGGCCCUUGACUUCUCAAAGCUAAUUAAAAUGAAACUUUUGCUUUAUUUCAAGGAAUUUUAGUUGAAGCCUAAUUUAUUGCUAAAGUGGUUUCAGGGAGGUCAAGCACAGGAACAGACAAGUGUAUCCACUUUAAAAGAAAGUCAAGGAUGUGAUAUAUGAGACUGUCUUCCUUAUGACAAUUCAUCUUCAAAUUCCAAGUGGCUCUUGCAUGAAAAUACAGUCCAAAAAAACAGAACAAAUCUGGUAGAGCAUUCACUGCCAGUAUUAAAAUAGAAAAUAAUUUUCUUUGUUCAAAUUUUGCCGUCAAAAUGAACAGGAACAUGUUUAAAUCAUAUCUAAGAACUGGUUUUAAAUCUAUUUGAUAAACAUUGAUUAAAGCAGUUUCUUCAAGCCACAUGAUCCUUGAAUUUGCAGACAUGCAUUUCUUAGUAGUUGUUGGGUUACACCACCAAAACCUUUUCCAGUAAAACAUGGAUUUGACAGUAAGCAAAACCUUUUUUUUUUCAGUCUAUUUUAUAUGCAUCACUGCAUUUUAUUAAAAUAAGACAGUAAAUUCUGUGAGGGCUUAUGCCAAAUGCAUUUCUUUUACAGUGAACUCAGUAAGUGAACUUUUCCAAAGAUGUUUCCACAAGACUGCAAUGAAAAUAGGACCUCUCCUAGUCUCUUUUGAUUCCAAAUACUAAAAAAUGGGUGGGGUAAAGAACUUUUUUGCUUUUCUGAAACAAUGUAACAGAUUCCCAAAUCUAUGAUAUUUUUCUUGGAUUUAGUGGUCUCCUUAAUGUAUACCAGAGUCCACUUCAGUUCAUGGUCAAGGCACAAGAGUGGAUUCUUCGUUCAUCUCAAUGUGUAACCUCUCUUCAUUUCUCUUUCAUUCUUCUGCAAAGGAAGAGACAGUUUUCCCGAGGCCAAUUCCUCAACCUGAUUCUGGGCCCUUGUCCCUCCUGUCCUCUCAGGAUCCCAGACUCACCUGUGUUUAGACCCUCUUCCUCUCCAUUACCAUUUUCCGGUCAGCAUAUUUGUGCUCCUGUUCCUCUUUUUAGAAAACGCACCCCCACCUUCCAACACACACACACACACACACACACACACACACACACACACACACACCUGUCCUAGCUUCUCUUCCCUCUCUUCACUCCUGGAGUUGCAUGAACUCUGUGUCUGUUUCUCACCUCCUCCUCCCAGCCCAGCUUUGUGCAGGCUGGUUCUAGCCACUCCUGUUUACUAAACCAGCUCUUAAGCAGUGUCACUGUUGAGGUUCUUGUAGCCAAACCCAAUGGGCGCCUCUCAGUUCUUAUUUUCACUGGGCCUCUCCUCAGCAUUUGGCACACUGCUGACCACCCACAUCUUGAAACCCUUUCUUCUCUUGACUUCUGAAAUAAUACUGUAUACUCUCUCAUUUUGCUUAUUAGCAUUCUGGCCACUUUUUGUGGUCUCCUUUCUGGGCUCUCCUUGAUUUGUCCAUCUAGCUCAGAAUCCUGGCCUAGGCCAUUUUUACCCUCAACAUACUCACUCUGGAAGAUCUCACCCAUCCAGUUACCAUCUCUUUAUGCGGAAGACUUCUUGGUGCCUCUCCAACCCUAUGUGUCUCUUAGCUCCAGGUCCUUAUUUCCUUCUACAUCUGAAUAUCUUUGCCUGAACAUCCUCAAAUGUAGUUUACCUCUUCUUUUAUCCCCUUUCAGUAAUAUUACUUUGUACACAGAAUCUCAUGCCAGAAACUGGGAAAUCAACUCAGACUCUUUCCUUUUCCUCUUUCCCCUUGAGUCGACCAUACUAGCCCCAUGGAUUUUACUUCCUAAAUAUCUAUCUGUCUCUCUCCAUUACCUGUGCUGCUGCCCUAAUUGGAGCCAUCCCAACUUCAGCAGCCUCCUGACUGGUCUCCCUGUCUCCAGUCCUGACUUCUCCCACCCAUUUUCCAACUUAAGCCAGAGUGGUUUUUCUGGAACCCAAAUAUGACCACAUGACACCAUUAUUUAAAAUUCUUUGUUAGCUCCCUGUGACCAUAGGAUGAAGGUCCAGACCCUGAGCAAGAUGUACCGGCGCCUAUGUGGAUUGACCCCUCCUCACAUAUAGUCUCAUCUCACGUCGUCUCCAUUUCACUCUGCUCUGGCCAUACUGUACUAUUGCCAGCAACUCAAACACAUCAGGCCAUUCCUUUGGCAAAAAACACUUCUUACUCAACUAACUUGAACUUAAUUUCAGAUCUUGGUUUAGAUGUCCUUGCCUCUAGGAAGUCUUCUCUAGUCUCCUCAAUUGGGAUGCCCUUGGACAACCCCUCCCAUUGCACAUAGAACAUAAACAGGUAUCACCUGCUGAUUUGUGUCUUCCCGCCAAAGAUUGUAAGUUCUAGUAGAGAGAAGGUUGGAUGUAUUAUAUAAUAGACAGCCAAUAAGUAUCUGUGAAUAAACUAAUAAAUACCUUUCUUUUAUAUGACACUGUUUCUUCUCACUUACUCACCCAAGUUAGUAGGUGGCAUUUUGAAACAGAAUCAUCAUGGGAGCGCCUGGGUGGCUCAGUUGGUUACGUGUCUGACUUCGGCUCAGGUCAUGAUCUCGUGGUCUGUAAGUUUGAGCCCUGCAUCCAGCUCUGUGCUGACAGCUCAGAGCCUGGAGCCUGCUUCAGAUUCUGUGUCUCCCUUUCUCUCUGCCUUUCCCUCACUUGUGUGCACACACACGUGCUCUCUCUCUCUCUCUUGCUCCCUCUCUCUCAAAAAUAAAUAAACAUUAAAAAAAAAAAAGAAUCAUCCGUGUUGGUGCAUCAUUUUGGAGCAGUAUUUCAUAUUUCACCGUAUCAAGUUCUCAUCAGUGUCAUUUUUCUCCUAAGCUAAAACAGUACAGGUAUAUAUGAGUUGUAACAGGAAUCUUGAAAUGGGGUUGAGUCUUAUCCAGAGCUUCAGAUUAUUACCAAUGAGGUGAGGAAUGUAAAAUGACAGUCACCAGACAACUAGAAUAGGGACCUUUUUUACCAGUUGACUCUGGUACUCCAAGGUAACCUGCUUCAGUCAGGUCAUUUUUCUUGCUAUUCUGCUCAUAUGUUGUCCUCUUUGCCAUGACUCUGUCUUUGCACACUCUUUUCCCCACUACUUGGAAUGCUUCAUUUUAUGCCUCUUUCGGUCCCUUCCCGGCCACUUCUGAUCUUCCUUCUCUAGAAGUUCCCAGCCUACUCCAGUCUCUUCAUUUCUCUUUCUUUUCUAAAUUCUGGCUGCAGUCAUCCAUUCCAAACUGCAUAGCAGCUUCUUAGCUAUGGUCUUACCCCACUCUCUAGACCUCUUCUAUGUCUCCCUCCAACUCUGGAGAGGAGAUAUUACAUCCUGUGCCUCCCACAGCUACUGGUCCACAGCUGACCCCAUAGUAGGCAUUUUUUUUCCCCAAGUGAAUCAUUUGAUGGAAUCCUGCCUAUCUUUAUGGAAUCCCCUAAUUUCGGUCACUCUUGCAGGGAAUGGGUUGUGUAGAUUGACUUAUAUUUGGCAUUCUUUUCUAGCCUCCACUCUUCAAAAAUGAAUAUUCUUUUCUAUAAAGGUUUUGAUUGUUGACAGAAAUUCUUGCUUACAUAACCAAAAAUAGAUUCCUAUGUCAACCCAAAAUGAGAGAUAAGCUAAAUACGGAGGAAACAGUGCUCAUGAUGGGUCAGUUAAUACCAAAGGUUGUUCUACUUCCAGACAAAGCCAAACAUUUUAGAACAUUUACAUCUGCAAACACAUCAGCAAAUCAUAGGGACUGGUUUCCCCUAUUCAGUCAUUUUAAUUGCCAGUAAACUAAACUUGAGUUAAAAUGGCCAUUAUCUGAUAAUACUGCAAAUUCUUAGAUUAUUGAUUUAAAUUUACCUAUAAAGAAAAAAGCCAGAGGUCAACAUUUUUGUAUUCAUAAGUUUAUCCUUUUCCUUUCUCAUUUCCUUAUCUUUUGGCAAAUGUGUACAUAAGCAAAAUUACCUGAGAUCUUUGCAACUUAGUCGUUCAAAAAUUUCCAGAUGUACCAGUUCUGCCUACACCGUACUGAACUAAGUAGUUAAGAAGGGGGACAAAAAUAACUUGCUUAAUCUUUCAUUUUACUGGAUUUUUAGGAUUUAAGUGAGCAAAUCCUCAUUUACCUUUACAAUAUCCAUAUAGGAUUGAGUGAAAAGAAAUUUUAUUGUUAUCUCAAGUUUAGUGGGAAAUUGAAAGUAAGAUAAUUUGCUAUAUAUCUUAUGUGGAACUUAUUUAUUGCCUUGAGAUGUUUUAUCUUUUUUACAGCUAUGUUUUGACAUUCAUAUUACAUGAAUAAAAAACUAAGAAGACCAAACAUGUAUAAACAGAAUUUAGUGUUAAAAUUAAAACAUUCCAGACUUUUUUUUUUCCUGAUGACUUUAAUUGAAUGCAUUGCUGUGCUGCAUGAUAAUUAGGGAUCCUCAGUAAACAGUUGACUUAAGUGACUGUCAUUCAUGUGCCUUGCAUAGCCCAACCAAGUUUCUGUUGACACAGAGGCAGAGAUAGACAGGUUGGGCAGAGCAAGAGGAAGCUCUGGGGCCUGUCUGAAGACCUCCCAGUAGGGGCCAACCUCUUCUCUGGCUGGAGCACUAUGACCUGGCACCAAAGACCACACAUUGUCCUUUAUUUCUUCUGCCUGGUGCUUCAGCCUCCUCCCCUGCCAUCCUCCCAAAGGAAUCAGGUUGGACCCAGAGGAAUCAGAACUGCUGAGCUCACCCCUCCCUGACCUGUUUUCCACCAAGAGCUUUGGACUCAGGCUUCCAUAGGCAGAUUCUGGAAAUUCCAUUAAAAAGGGCAGAGUGGGGAGUAGGUAGGUGAUUGGAUUGGAGGGGAAAGGAAUGAAAAUCAACAGGAUAAAUAGGUGGGCUUUUCUGCUAUAACUCAUACCAACUGAGGAGCCCAAGUGUUCUGCCUCCUUAGAGCUCUGAAAUUCCCCAGGAUAGGCAAAUCCCUAUCUCAGGUUGGGGAAGAGCCUCAAGCUAAGAAGGGUGGGAGUCCAUGGCAGGUCCUGAGAACAGUGUCUGUACUACCCAGAUCCUUCUCUCCUGAGCUAUUGGGAAGGGGUUGGAGGCACCAAAAAUUCUUUUUUCACCACACCUUCACCCAGCUGAUCUUACAGAGGUAGGAGCAAGUUAGUACAGUGGAAUGAAUGGUCUUUGCUUUGGAGUCAGACAGGCUUGAGUAUUGAUUCUAACUCUGCCAUUUACUAGCUCUAACCUAACUGCUCUGAGUCUCAGAGCAGUUAUCUACCUUGGAGAGCAGAUGUAAGUAUCAGAGAGGAUCUGUAUAAAGUAGCUGUCAAGUAAUAGGCUGACGGACUGUCUACAGGACUUCCCCACAGAAUCACUUACUUGGAGUGGUGACCUGAGGGACAAGAUGACUUUGGAUGUUGGAGAGGGGUUGCAAAAGGAUUUUAUUGAAAUUCUAUUAUAUGCUGUGUAUCAGUUACCUACUGCCGUAACAAUGCCAAGUAACAAACCAUCUCCCAAACUCAUGGCAUUCGACAAUAAACAUUUUUUUUUCUCACAAAUUUGUGGGAUUCAGUUGAUCUAGGCUGGUCCCUGCUAGGCUUGAUCAUGUGUCUUUGGGUGACUCUGCUCCACACGUCCCAUCCUUUUCUGGGACCACUGUAGUGGCCUGAGCAUGUCCUUUGCAUAACAGUGGCAAAGGGGAAAGCCCAAGCAAUAACAUACUCUGCAACAUACCGUUGGGGAAAGCGAGUCACAUGGCUGAGCCCAGAGACAGAGUAGAAGGGUGAAUUGGAACUUUUUCUUUUUUCUUUUCUUUUUGCAAUCUAUGUAAUGCCAUAUAUUUUAGCUCCCUUUUAAUUUUGCAAGAAGCCAUCCAUUUCUAUGGUAGGGAUAGGACAGGAUAAGCAAUUUGGCAACAAAUAGAAAAUAAAUGUGGAAGUAUCUCAAUAUACUUUGUUAUUUUAUACUUUAUACCAGUAAUAAAUGUAUGGCCAACUUGAUGGGAGCCAUAUUUCUUUGUGCUAUGUCUAUCAGUGGACAUGCCUGACCUGUCCUUCUAGAUCAUAGCAGGCAGGCCUCCUGAGCUUUGCUCUCCUUCAUCUUCCCUUUAGUGCUAGUACAGGGCUUAACAUGUAGUUGGCACUCAAUAAAUACAGAAUGCCAAAUGAUCCCCAGGGUGACAUAGCUCUAGUGUCCUAUUAGGAGAUCCCCUCUGGCUGACCACAUAUAGCUCUCCCUGUAUUUAUAAAAAGGCUUUAUUUUCAGUGGUUCUGUUUUUUCCCACUGAAAUAAUCACCAAAUAUCUGAUGCCUGCAGAAGUUAAACCAUUCGAUCCAGAUCUCAGUUAUUCUACGCCCACAAAAUCCAAACAAUGUGAACACUUUGCUUAGAGUUUGCUAAUGAAGACAGAAGCAAUUUGGAGAUGCCAUCAACAAGAUCAAAAGAUUUACUCUCAUGUGACUCUGACAAUGUUUAAAGUUUGUUGCUGUUUAUUUGUUUGUUUUUAACCUUAGGUUCUACAUCUGGGGCAUUAUUUUUUAAAUCAUAAGCAGCGUUAAAAAUACCUGACAGUUUUGUUCUGAUUCUUAAUGUGGGUGUUAAGAGAUGCUUUCCAUUAGUGAGUCUGCCCCAGAUAAUGUGUUUAUUUGCAUCUUCCUUUUCUCUGCCUGUCCCCUAAUGGUCUGGUACACAGAAGGCUACUUGAGCUGAUUUAUAUGGAUCUCAGUUGCUCUCAUUUGUGCAUACUUAAUUCAGAGAGGUGAUCCCAUUGAUUUCUGAGUCCCACUAUUCAAGACAUUGUACUUACAUAGAUAUCUCAGCUGCUCUAACUACAUUGUCUGAAAAGGAAAACAUUUUAAACCUUUGGAAGCAAUUUUGACGGACAUUUCAUUGUGUUCUAUAUUACUUACCUAAUUAAAUUUCCUUCACAUCAAGGUCUGUUUAAAAUUAAAUUGAGAAAUAUUUUUGAGUUCCAUUGGGCAGAUAACUUUGUUUGGCUGGAUUCGUUCUGCGUAUAUAUGAAAUGGCAUCCUAUGAAUCAAUAUCCAGUGCUUAGACUUCCCAUAGAUGUGAAGAAAUGACACCCUUACUAGGCAAAUGUAGUCUCCUGUUAUUAUAACAAGCUGUCCCUGGUUACUGAACUUGUUUACCCUGUAAUUCCAAAAAGUCCUCGCAGUUUUGUGCCUGUGGUUUGGGCAGGCUGAUUUAUUCAGAUGCUAAGCAUUGCGAACAAAAUUUGUAACUUAUUUCAUGGAUUAGCUGGAGUCCUGGGACUCUUACAUAUAAGCUCACAGCCCAGCUCGAGGCAGCUAGCUUCCUCGGGGGGGCACGCAAUCUUAUUUGCCUAGCCAAGAGUUUAGAAUUCCAGACUGGGUUUGAAAGCAAAAAGGGUGAGUUGUCUGAGGGCUAAUUCCCAGUGGAAGAGGUGUGAUAAUGUUUUGUAUCUUUGGAAGCAAGAAAUAGGAGAAAGGCUUUAUCUCUGACUCCACCCACUCUGCUACUGAAGACAAGAAAAACAGACCCUCCUCAUCUUUUAUCCUAGCCCUCUUUGAGACAGCCAUUCCAUUAAAUUCUGUGGCAAAGGACCCUGUGGUAAUAAAGCUGUAAUUGAAGAGCUGGCGCUCCGUAGGCACUGCUUUAAUAUUUUUAAAAAUAGUCCCAAAGAACUGCUUUUUGUUGCACUGUAAAUUGGCCUUUCAGCAUUUCAGAAUUCAUUAGAAUCUUCAAGGUCUUCAAGGUUUAUCCUUAUCUGGUCUUAGUCCAUUCAGGCUGCUAUAACAAAGUACUGGCAACUAGGUAGUUUAUAAACAACAGAAACUUAUUGCUCAGAGUUCCCGGGGCUGGAAAUUUGAGAUCAGGGCACCAGCAUGGUUGGCUGAGGACCCCCUCCUGGGUUGUGGACAUCCCAUUGUGUCCUCACGUGGAGGAAGGGACUAGGGCUCUCCCUGGGGCCUCUUCCAUAAAAGCACUAACCCCACUGGUGAGGGCUCCGUUUUCAAAGACUCCACCUACUAAUACCAUCACCUUUGAGGCUAAGGAUUUCAAACAUAUGAAUUUUGGGGUCACACAUAUUCGGCCCAUAGCAAACUCUGUGCCUCAGAUUAUAGGCACAUCAUUAAGUUACCGUGGGCCUUAAAUGACCCCAUGCAUAUAGAUGCUUAGAACAAUGGGUACAUCAUGAAUGCUUGCUAAUUUCGCUGCUAUCAUUGUUAUUCCUGUUGACUCAUACUACCUUUUGUAAGUUCUCUGUAUAUCAGCAGGAGAUUUGGCCCAAGGGACCAACUCUCCCACAAUCUUUAUACAUGAAGAGUAUUGCUCGGUGUUGUCAUCGAGAGCAUGAGCUCUGGGGCUAGACAGAUCUAAUUUGUGUCCCAGCUACACCACCUACUAGUUAGCUAUGUGACUUCAGGCAAGUGAUCGACUUCAGAGAGACUCCAUUACUUUCUCUGUAGAAUGGGGGUAAGGUUGCUGUCUGACAUCACCUAGUUGGCGUGCAGACUAAAUGAGAUACCACCACAGAUGCUUAAUGCUGCACCUAGCGCACUUAACUCUUAUCUCCUCGAUACCACAGAUGACACCCCGUUUCACAUGGACACAUCUGUCCUUCAGCAUAAUGUAUGCAUCAUUUUCACUGGUGGAAUUUGUGAUGACAGAGAUUGCCAGGCACCACGUUGGUCUCAGGAUGCAGUCCUUUCAAACGGGUCAGAUGUGCCCCAGGGUUAUUUACUCCUACUCUGCCCCACGCCACCGUGUCCUUUUAAGACUCAACAAUUAUGGACAUUCUGCUAAGCUCAUGCUUAGAACAUGGAAGUCUGAUUUGCAUGUAAGUAGGUCCUGACUGAACCCUCUCUAACCUAUAGCGGGAUAAAGUCUGUUUUGGUGUGGUACAUGUUGAGCACAAAGUCUGGAUUUGCUAGAAUUUUACAUGUAAAAACUGCAGCUCAGCCAACGAGGCUCAGCUUGUCUUUGUCCUCAUCGUGAUCACAGGUUUGGGGGUCACAUCAGAAAGUUAUUUUCUCAGACAUCCCGGUGGUAAAAGGCUAAGAGUGCUGAGAAUGGUUUCCCUGUUAGCAUCUUUUCUGGUUUCAGUAUGUCUGGAUCCUGCCUCUUUAUCAUGUUCCUCAAAUCUACUCUUUGUGCAUUACCAUGGGUGCUCCUGUAACUCCCUGUAUGACUUUUGUUGUGGUUCACACCAUCAUCUUUACUCCCAAAGCCAGGAGCCUUAACAAGAAAAAAAAAAAAAGAAAGAAAGAAAGAAAGAAAAGGAAAGAAAACCCAUAGACACCUUGCGGUUGCUUUUUCUGAAGUAGCAACUUUUUUUGCUAAUGAAAGAUUUUGAAGCCACGGGCCUCUGAAUUCUCAACACACGAGUCUAUUUAAACAGUCUCCAGAAUCCUUUCCUGACCCCAAAUUACUCCCACACAUUAAUUGUCCUAGUGGUUUCAUGGCCACAUUAUUUCAUAUUCAUUAGUGUUUUCAUGAAAAAUUAUAACGCUAAUUACAGCAGCUUCCAGUUAAUUCACUUGGUGAUUCAUUUUCUCUCCCUCUUGGUGUUCUGCGUGUGGUCAUCUUGGAGAAAGCAUCCAAGGGGUAAUUGCAGCUCUAUUCCCUGAGUGAUCGCCUAAUGCCAUUAGUUCUGAUCCACAGGCGCAUCUUGGGCAGCUCCGAUGGGGUCUAGUUACAGCUGCACCCUGGGCCUGCCCUUCGAUGCAGGGAGGGAGGGAAGGCUGCAGGGAGGACAGGUCUUCUGAAGGGGAGGGACGGGUUUAAGGAGGAUGAAGUGGGAGCGGAGCUUCUUGGUGGGAGUGAGCGUCACUGUAACGUCUUCUGGAAUGGGGGUAAGGACAGGAUAGCGCCAAGAGAAAUCGGCCCUGAGAAGGUGUGUUUGGAAGAGAAUAAGGCAAGCAAAUUCUCUUCAGUUCUUGCAGAUGUGUGGACAGGCCCCAGCUACACUCUGGAAGCCUGCUUCCCGCUCAGAGUUCUGAUGCCAGUUCUCCUCAUUAAAAGUUUAUUUGACCUCACCGCCAUUAGGAUGGCAGCUAGCAAAAAAACCCAGAAAAGAACAAGUGUUAGAUGCGGAGAAAUUGGAAACCUUGUGCGCUGUUGAUAGCACUGUAAAAUGAUGCCGCCUCUAUGAAAAGAAUGUGGCAGUUCCUUAAAAAAUUAAAAAUUAAAUCACCGUAUGAUCCAGCAAUACCACUUCUGGGAACAUAACCCAAAGAAUGGAAAGCAGGGGUCCAGGAGAAAUUUGUACACCCAUGUUCAUGACAGCAUCAUUCAUAACAGUCCAAAGGUGGACACAACCAAAUGUCCAUCGAUGGAUGAAUAGAUAAACAAGAUGUGGUAUGUACAUAAAAUGGGAUAUUACUCGGCCUUAAAGAGGAGGGAAGUUCUGACAUAUGCUACAACAUGGAUGAACCUUGAGGACAUUACACUAAGCGAAAUAAGCCAGUCACAAAAAGAUACUGUGUGAUCUCACUUAUGUGAGGUGUCUAGAGUAGUCAAAUUCAUAAAACAGUAGGAGAAACGGUGGUUGCCAAGGACCAGGAGAGGAGCAACGAGAAUUUGUUGUUUUAAUGAUACAGAGUUUUCUGUCUUACAAGAUGAAAAUGUUUUGCCAAUUGGUUGGACAAUAAUGUGAAUGCAUUGGACACUACAGAACUGCGCACUUAAAAAUGGUUAAGAUGGCAAAUUUUAUGUUAUGUGUAUUUCAGCACAGUUUUUUAAAUGUUUAUUUCUGAGAGAGAGAGAGAGAGAGAGCACGCAGGGGAGGGGCAGAGAGAGAGGGAGACACAGAAUCCAAAGCAGGCUCCAGGCUCUGAGCUGUCAGCACAGAGCCCAAUGGCGGGCUUGAACCCAUGAGCUGAGAGAUCAUGACCCGAGCCCAAGCUGGACGCUCAACCAACUGAGCCACCCAGGCGCCCCAACAAUAAUUUUUUAAAAAGAUUAGUUGUCAUUUAUAUUGUAAUGCUUGCUUACUAUUAAAAAUGAGAAAAUAGAAAAAAUAGAAGAGUAAAAAUGUUCUUCUGCCACUCAAAGACAACCAUAUUAAUACUUCGCUUUUAUUAAAUUUAUUUUCUAAUUAUUUAGGUAAUGCAUUGAAACAUUCUUCUUGUGCAGGGAGCCUGGGUGGCUCAGUCGGUUAAGCAUCUGACUCUUGGUUUCCACUCAGGUGAUGAUCUCACAGUCUGUGAGGUGGAACCUGCGUCAGGCUCUACACUGACAGUGUGAUUCUCUCUCCCUCUGUGUCCCUGCCAUGCUCAUGCUUUCUCUCUCUCUCAAAACAGAUAAAUAAAUAUUAAAAAUAAAUAAAAAUAAAACAUUCUCCUUAUAAAGACUCACAACCUUAAUGAUCAGGAGGAAGUCUCCUUUGCCCACCUCCUGUAAUCCCAGUCUCUUUAUCACUUGCCAGUAGUGACGUUCUUACGGCUUCGAUGAUGUCCGCCAACGCAAGUGCUUCCGAUGCAUUCAUUUACCUAUACAUGUACUCACUGAAACGUUUAUCUCAGAGGCCUGCACAUUGUCCUGCCUUAACGCGAGUCCUGUAGCAUGCAAAUUAGUCUUUUUGUGUUUUUAUCUUAUGUGUUUUGCUUCUUGGAUAACUUUUAAACAUUCGCCUGUUUAUUCUUUGAAGACUUUAUGUUUUCUACAAACUUUUAGGUUUACAACAUAGUGAGAAGGAAGCUACAGGGAUUUCCCGUAUACCUCUUGCCCCACACAUGCCUUGCUUCCCCCUUUAUCAACACCACUCACAAGAACGAUACAUUUUUGUUUUUUGACAUAUCAGAAUCACUCAAGUUCAUAGUUUACCUUAGUGUUCACUGUUGGUGUUGUACAUUCUGUGGGUUUGGACAAAUGUAUGACAUGUAUCCAUUAUUCUCAUACAGAGUAUUUUCACUGCCCUAAAAAUCCUCUCUGCUCUGCCUCUUUAUCUCUUCCCCUUUCUACCUCCAGGCAAUCACUGAUCUUUGUAUUGUGUCCACAGUCUUGCCUUUUCCAGAAUGUCAUAUAGUUGGAGUUAUGCAGUAUCUACUCUUUUCAGAUUGACUUCUUUCACUUAGUAAUAUGCAUUUAAGGUCCUCUGUGUCUUUUCACGGCUUGCUAGCCCAUUUCUUUUUAGUGCUGAAUAAUAAAUAUCCCAUUGUCUGAAUCUACCACAGCUUAUUUAUCCAUUCACCUGCUGAAGGACAUCUUGGUUGCUUGAGUUUUGGCAGUUAGGAAUUAAACUGCCCUGAACAUCUAUGUGCAAGUGUUUGUGUGAACAUAGUUGUCAUUUCCUUUGGGUAAAUACCAAGGAGUGCAAUUUCUGGAUCAGAUGUUAAGAGUAUGUUUAGUUUCGUGAGAAACUGCCAAAUUGUCUUCCAAAGGAACAACAACUUUGCAUUCCUGCUAUAGCAAUGUAUGAGAGCCACUGUUGCCCCACAUCCUCGCCGGCAUGUGAAGUCAGUGUUCUGGACUGACAUUAGAAUUUCGGUCUUUCUAAUGGGUCUGUAAUGGUAUCAUAUUAUUGUUUUAAUUUGCACAUUUCCCUGCUGGCAUAUGGGGCAUUUUUGCAUAUACUUGUUUGCCAUUUGCCAUCUGUGUAUCUUCUUUGGUGAGGUAUCUGUUAACGUCAUUGGCCCAGUUUUUAAUUGAGAUGUUUGUUUUCUUAUUGUUGAGGGUUCCCCCCCCCCCACUUAUUGUCGAGUUUUAAGAGUUUUUUGUAUACUUUGGAUAAAAAUUCCUUAUGACACGUGUCUUUUGCAAUCAUUUUCUCCGAAUUUGUGGCUUGUCUUCUAGGGGCGCCUGGGUGGCGCAGUCAGUUAAGCGUCCGACUUCAGCCAGGUCACGAUCUCGCGGUCCGUGAGUUCGAGCCCCGCGUCAGGCUCUGGGCUGAUGGCUCGGAGCCUGGAGCCUGUUUCCGAUUCUGUGUCUCCCUCUCUCUCUGCCCCUCCCCUGUUCAUGCUCUGUCUCUCUCUGUCCCAAAAAUAAAUAAACGUUGAAAAAAAAUUUAAAAAAAAAUUGUUUUUAACGUUUAUUUAUUUUUGCAAGACAGAGACAGAGUGCAGGUAGGGGAGGGGCAGAGAGAGAGGGAGACAUAGAAUCCAAAGCAGGCUCCAGGCUCCAAGCUGUCAGCACAGAGCCCAACGUGGGGCUCGAACCCAUGAACCGUGAGAUGAUGACCUGAGCUGAAGUCAGAUGCUUAACUGACUGAGCCACCCAGGCACCCUGAGCAGGAAUUUUUAAUUUUCAUGAAGUCCAGCUUACCAACUGUUUCUUUCAUGGAUUGUGUCUUUGGUGUUGUCUCCAAAAAGGCAUCACCACACCCAAGAUUGUCCAGGUUUUCUCCUUUGUUAUCUUUUAGUUUUAUAGCUUUGCUUUUUACAUCUAGAUCUCUGAUCCAUUUUGCAGAGGCCAGAUUCAUUUUUGUUUUUUUUUUUUUGCGUGUGGAUGUCCAGAUGUUCCAACCUAUUUGUUGAACAGACUAUCUUAGCUCCAUUGUAUCACCUGACUAUAUUUAUGGGGGUCAUUUGUGGGCUCUCUAUUCUGUUCCACUGAUCUAUUUGUCAUUCUUUCACUGGCUGGGCUACUGUCGCUUUAUAGUAAGUCUUGAGUGUCAGUCAGUUCUCCAACUUUGUUCUCCUUCAUAAUGGUCUUGGUAUUCUGCCUCCCCAUAUAAACUUUAGAAUCAGUUUGUUUAUAACCAUAAAAUAAGUUUCUGGGAUAUAGCAACUGGAUCUAUGUAUCAAGCCAGAAGAACUGACAUCUUGACAGUAUUGAGUCCUCCUAUCCAUGAACAUGGAAUAUCUGUCCAUUUAUUCAGUUCUUUGGGUUUGUUCAUCAGAGUUUGUGCUUUUUCUCAUGGAUCUUAUAUAUAUAUAUGUGUGUGUGUGUGUGUGUGUGUGUGUGUGUGUAACAACACUGUAAACAACUCUGUAAACAAAGUUUUAUGUCUUCCUUCUCAAUCUGUAUACCUUUUACUUCCUUUUCUUGCCUUAUUGCAUUAGCAAGGCCUUCCAGUACAAUGUUGAAAGGGAGUGGUGAGGGGCCUCUGGGUGGCUCAGUCAGUUAAGCAUCCAACUUUGGUUCAGGUGAUGAUCUCACAGUUCAUGAGUUUGAGCCCCACAUUGGGCUCUCUGCUGUCAGUCUGGAGCCCACUUUGAUCCUCUAUCCCCACCCCUGCCCCCACCCCUCUCUCAAAAAUGGAUAAACAUGAGAAGAGAGAGAGGGGGGUGGGUGAGAGGAACCACUUGUCCUGUUUCUUGCCUUGUACCUGAUCUUAGUGGGAAAGCUUCAAGUUUCCUACCAUUGAGUAUGUUGUUAGAUUUAAUCUAUUCUUUCAUUUGUCAAGGAUUUCUUUUUAUAAGUGAUGUGGGUUGGGAUUUAUUUUUUUUCCUCAAAUGGAUAACUACUUAAUCCACACUAGUUGCUGAACAAUUCAUCCCUUUCUUAGGAUUUGAAAUACAGUAUUUUAUCGUGUAUUAAACUCACUUAUAUACUUGGGUCUGUUUCUGAACUCCAUUCUGUUCUAUUGAUCUAUUAAUUCCCAUGUCAACAUCACACAAUUUAAAUUAUUUAAUGUCUUGAGGUCUGGCAAAGCAUGUUUUACCUCUUCAUCUUUUGGUUGUGAAUUUUCUUAGCCUUUCUUGCACUUUUAUUCUUCCAUAGGAAUUAUGGAGUCAGCUUGAAUUUAUAUAUCAUUUUGACCUUUUUGAUUUUAUAGGGCAUAGAGUUCACUUAGCCAAAUUUUUGUUUAUAUUUUCAUUAAGAAAAGUUUUAGCUUUGGUCUUCCUAUUUUUUUGCUAACGGUUGUUAUUCCUAAGUACUUGUGUCAUUGUGAAUUUUUUUUCUGUUGCAUUUUCUAAUAGGGCCUUUCUGGUGUAAAGAAAAGCCAUAGCUUUUAAAAAUGUCUUAUUAUAGGGGCGCCUGGGUGGCUCAGUCAUUUAAGUAUCCAACUCUUUGAUUUCAGUUCAGGAUACGGUCUUGUGGUUCAUGGGAUUGAGCCCCAUGUCAGGCUCUAUGCUGACAAUGUGGAGCCUGCUUGGGAUUCUCUCUCUCCGUCUCUGUCUCUGCCCCUCCCUCACAAACUCUCUCAAAAUAAAUAAACAAUUUUAAAAAUGAAAAUGAAAAUAAAAUAAAAUGUAUUAUUAUAAAAUAAAACAUAUACACAGGGAGUGCAUGAAAAAUAAAUAGGUUGCUUAAUGAAUUAUUGUAAAGCAAAUUGAAUACUGCCAGCUCUCCGUAAGUCCUCCAUAUUCCCUUUCCUUGUCAAAAACCUAUCCCUCAAUCGUAAAAUUUAAGUAGUAACCUGCCUUUUAUGGUAAUUGUCUCUUGGCUUUGUUGUAUAGUUCUUAACACUCAUGUAUGUAUCCCUAACUAGUUUUGCCAGGUUUUUAAAUUUCAUUAUCAAUAAACUCACUCAGUAUGUAUAUCUUUAUGCCUGGCUUCUUUUAUUUAACAUUCUUUUCACUUUGUUACAUGUAGCAGGAGGAGGAGGAGUUCUUUCUUUUUCAUAACUGUAUAGUAUUCCAUUAAAUUAAUAUGCCAUAAUUUAUCCAUUCUCCUGUUGGUGGGCACUUGGACCGUUUCUACUUUUAGAACAAACAGCUGCUCUGAACUUGUCCAGUCAUGUAUCCUAAUGUACAUGGCAUAUAUUUCUGUAGGGUUUUCUUCAUUUGGGUUCUCCCAAAAGCAGACUCUGAAACAAGGAUUCUAGUACAGGUCAUUUAUUUGAAUGAGGAUCCCAAAAAGCACUGGUAGAAGAGUGGAGAAGUAAGACCAAGAAGGGAAGAAACACAGCAAGUGCUGUUGUAUCAAGGACGUUCCCACAGCAGGCAACCGGGGCUCAAUCCUACUGAGUAAUUCUCUGUGUGUCCAUAGAAAACACGCCUCAGAAUCCUUCCACCUGGAAAACGAGGGUGUUGGGGUAUUUAUCUGGCAGAUCUCGUCAUUCGCUGAUUGGGAGAAGCUUGGGGGAGGCGGACAUCAAUUCCCCAGCCUUUCUGGCAUGACCUGUGUAGGGACAUAGCAGCGUCUGGCAACCAGAGAAAGCCAUCUGACAAAGCGAUAAAGUUGCUGGCGGCUGAGGGUUGGGCAUGCACGACCAUGGUGACAGCCAGCGGAGUGUACUAGCACAUGAGAGCGUCUGCAACAAGGCAGUCUAUCUAGGAGCAGAAUUUCUGGGUCAUAGGGCAUGCACGUAGUCAGCUUUAUCAGAUACUCCCAAAUAGUUUCCCAAACGAUUGUACCAAUUGACACUCCCCCAACAGCAUAGGAGAGCUCUCCUAUCCCGGCCAGCACUUGCUAUUGAGAGACUUUGACAAUUAAGCCAUUUUGGUGAGUGUGUAACAUUGUUUUUAAUUUGUAAUUUCUAGAUUACUAAUAAUUGUGUCUUUCUAAAUAUUGUUUACGUUUAUUUUUGAGAAAGAGAGAGAGAGAGAGAGACUAUGCACGCACUCACAAGUGAGAGGGGGAGGGGCAAAGAGAGAGAGAGAGUCCCAAGCAGGCUCCAUGCUGUCAGCACAGAACCCGAUACGGGGCUCAAACCCACGACCCAUGAGAUCGUGACCUGAGCUGAAAAUCAAGAGUCAGACGCUUAACCAACCGAGCCACCUAGACGCCCCUAAUGGUGCCUUUUUAUAUAAUUACUGGAAAUUUGGAUUUCUUCUUCUGUGAGUGCCUGUUCAAGUCUUUGCCUGUUUUUGUAUUGGGAUGUCUGACUUUUUCUUAUGGAUUUCUAAGAGAUUUUAUGUAUUCUGGAUUCAGACCCUUUGUCUAUCAUAUAUGUUGCAAAUAUCCAUGGCUCUCCUUUUACUUUCCCUUUCUCCCUUUUUUCCUUUUACCCUCUUAUUGGUGUCUUUUGAUAUACAGAAAUCCUUAAUUUCAAUAUGCUUCUAUUUGUAAAUCUUUUUUCUUUGAGUCUUAAGAAAUCUUUCACGUGAUUGUAAAGAUACAACCCUAUAUUACUUUUAUAAACUUUACUGGUUUGCCGUUAACAUGAAGGUCUAUGUCGACCAUGCAGAACUUAUUUUGUGUGUACGACAGGAAGGUAGAGGUUAAGAAUUAAGCCCUGCCCCAAUGCCUAUCCAGUUACCCCAGCCCCAUUAUUAGAAAGAACACACUGUCUUCAUGUUCUCCAGUGCCACUGUCAUUAAAUGACACUUGUCAUUAAAUCAAGUGUCAUUAGAUCUUGUCACUAAAUCAAAUGUCCAUGUGUGUGGAUCUGUUUGGGGGCUUUCUGUUCUGUUCCACUCAUCUAGUUCUAUACCCUUAUCCCAGUACUACACCAUGGUAGUCUUACUAAAGGUCUUGAUGGCCGAUAUAGCGAGUCUUCCUAUCUCUUUCUUUUUAUGAAGACUAGCUUGACUAUUCUUUGAUUUUUUUUGCAUUCUCAUAAAGGUUUUAGAACCAGCUUGUCAAAUCCCCCCAAAAUCGGAAAGGCAAGAAAGAAGAAAAGGAGGGAUGGAGAGAAAUCUGCUGGGAUUUUCAUUAGAGAUUUGAUUGGGUCUAUACGUCAACAUGGAGAGAAUUGAACUCUUAUCAUACUGAAUCUUCCAAUCCCUUUAUUUAGAUAUUCUUUAAUUUCUCUAACAAAGUGUAUAGUUUACUCUGUCAAAAUAUUGCAUGCCUAUUUUGAAAUUUAUUUCUACAUGCUUGAUGUUUUGAUCCUAUUAUAUAAGUGGUGGCCUUUUCCUUUUCUGUUUGUUGUGUGAUAUCGGAUUUUUGUCUACUGAUAAUUCUCAUAUUAAUUCUAAUAGUUUUAUCUGUUUAUUAUCUUGGAUUUUCUAUGUGUACACAAUCAAUCUUGAUUUUUACAUGUUCAUCUUGUACCUGAGCACCUUCCUGAAUUUUCCUAUUGGUUCUAGUAAUUUGAGUAUUGAGGUUUUUGGGUUUUCUAGGUUGAAAAAAAUCAUAUUAACUCGUAAUUAUGAGUGUUCUGUUUCUGCCUGGAGAAGCAGUACAGGGUAGCUGUUGGGUACAAGGAGUUUGGAAGCAGACCACCUGAGUUUGCAUCCCAGUCCCAUUACUCACUAGGUAACCUUAAGUAAUUUGCUCACUCCUCUGUGACUCAGUAUCAUUAUCAUUAAUCAUCAACUCUUGGGUUGAUUGUAAAAAUUAAGUGAGUUAAUACCUAGCAAAUAAUGUCUAUCAAAUAAUGAGCACUCAGCUUAUGUAGACUUCUGUCAUUUUACCAGUGUCAUUCCUUUCUAAAUUUUCACUUAUUUGUUUUUUUCUUAUUUUUAUUGCAUUGACAACUUUGCCAACAUAAUGUUGAAGAGUAGUGGUGCCUUCAUGCCUCUCCUGAAACCGAACUCUUUGGAAUAUUUCCUUCUUUUUCUUGUUGUUGUAGGCAUAAUUGUUUUCUUUUUCAUCUGUUUCACAUACAUGAAAUCAUCUUUACUUGGAUUUACGAAUCUGAUGUUUCACUCUGGAAGAGGGAGAUACUUUCCCAGAGGAUUUUUUUUUCCCCAGCCGUAUACUUCACAUAAUGAUGUGAAACAUUAGUAAUGGAAUUAUUUGUUUUUAUUUUUUUUUUUAAUUUUUUUUUCCAACGUUUAUUUAUUUUUAAGACAGAGAGAGACAGAGCAUGAACGGGGGAGGGGCAGAGAGAGAGGGAGACACAGAAUCGGAAACAGGCUCCAGGCUCUGAGCCAUCGGCCCAGAGCCCGACGCGGGGCUCGAACUCACGGAUCGCGAGAUCGUGACCUGGCUGAAGUCGGACGCCUAACCGACUGCGCCACCCAGGCGCCCCGGAAUUAUUUGUUUUUAAACAUCACUGAGAUCCUGUUGCAAAAGGAGGCAUCAACUGUCCUACCUUCUUACAGAGUCAUUGCCGUAGGCUUUCCAAAGAGGUGGUGUUUGUUAACGUACCCUCCUUUGGAUACUCCUUUGGAUGUUCGGGAUGGGCUCGGGGGUAUCCACAGCCACAUGGGGCGGCUGACCAGUUCUUUUCUAGGACAACAUAACAUUCUUGACCUUAUGUGUUCGGUUAUUUUUCUUUUCAUAAAGAGUCUAUAGAUAACGCUUUUCUGAGUCAUCAUGUAGCCAAGAAUGCCUCCCAGUAGGAAAGACCCCCUGAACUGCAGAAAUUCUAGCGUUACAGCCGUUGUGCCCAUUUUGCCCUUUAUUUCCUCCAAUGCUGUGUAUUUUUCUCCUGCAAGUUUCCAUCUCAUCUCGUCUUACUGUUUUUUAUUACACACUAUUACUUAGGGACUUCUGUUUUCUUAAUCAUUUUCCAUUCCUGUUUCAUAGAAGCCAUCUCCUUGGGCAUUGUCUUGAGAGAUACCACCCGAUUCUCUAAAAUAUUCUUGAAGUUUCUGUAAGAUGUUUUCAGAAGAAUUUCCUCUGAUUCAUUCUCAGACGAGAAAACCCCGAUCGGGCCUGAUGCGGUCGACAAAAAAGGUGUGUGUUUUCCUUACCACUCAUUUCUGGGUGUCGGUGCAUUCACCCCCUCGGCCCUGCUCUGAGUUGCCAAUCGAUGCAUCUAACCCAUCUAACCCAUCUGGACCGGCAAAGACUCGUGGCCCACACGCACCCCCGGGCUGCAUGCAGACAAGCCGGUCAAAGGGGGUAGACGCACUGCACACCGAAGCCUCCCCUUGCCCCGCGUUCACCUAGAGCACUUUUUGGAAACUGAGCCUUCCACGCUGUGGUCUACCACUGCUGGUGUUCCUCUUCCACGCCCCAGCCCUCAAUUUUUUUUUUCCUCAUUAUUUUCUGAGAGUUGCAGUUCUGCAUUAAGUAGGUAGGUGUGGCAAGCACGCUGGCCGUCUCAACAGAGACCUACCAAGACAAGGGACGGUUGCUUACAGCCGUCUUGCCGUCCUCUUGCUGAGCAGCUGGAGGACUCAGGUGCUAUUUUUUCAAUUCGGAUACUAUUUUUCAACCUAGUUCCAUCGGCCUUGUGUUUGAGGGGCAAGUGCCUCAGAAAUUGCCCUCACACAGGUUGACCGAAGUCCUAGCUUUCAGUUUGGUGAGUUUUAUCUUCUAGGUUUUUGAGAUGAUUUUAAGUGGGAAGUUAGCUGGCUCUCUUCACCAUUUUAAGCCAGACAUUUGCAUCCAGAAUUAAAUACUUGUUUUAGCAAUUCACGACUUCCUGGAUAGCUUGCAGGACAAGCAGCUAUGCCACAGAAUGAAAGAUCUUUCUUUGGGCGCCUGGGGGGCUCAGUCGUUAGGCAUCUGGCUUCGGCUCAGGUCACGGUCUCAUGGUUCGUGAGUUCAAGCCUCACUUUGGGUGAGCUCGAGCCCCGCUUUGGGUGAGCCCUGCUUCUCUCUCUCUCCCUCCUUCUCCCUCUCUCUGCCCCUCGCUCACUUAUGCCGUCUCAAAAAAAAAAAAAAAAGUCUUUGCCAGACUUCAGUAUAGGCAGAAUUAAGAACCAGAAAUUGUCAUUUCAAAGGCUGAAUGCCCCCAAAAGACUUAUUCUAAUAGGAAGAUAGGAAGUAAAAGCCCCCUGGACUAGGAGUGAGGGCAUCUGGGUUCUCAGGGCUCUGUAACGGACUAGCUGUGAUCAGUCGUGGGCUACUCGUGGCACCUCUAAACGCCUCAGACUCCUAUACCCAAAAUGAAGGAUUGGACCAAAUGGUCUCUAAUGUCCUGCCAUUCUGAGACUCGGGGAUUUUACCAGCUGUCCUGGAACAUCUGCUGUUUAGCAACCUGUCCCUCCUGCGGUCAGAGCUUCUGCUGAAAGGGAAGCAGAGACUGAAGGCACAUCCGCACUGGGUGUGCAAAGCUCCAGCCAUGGGCAGAACCUGCUGGGGGUUGUGGGGGUGGGGGCAGCAGGAGGAGCGCUGGACAGCAUGUGGUGCUGAGGUCUGUGCCCUCUUUUGGAAGAUUCGCCCUCUGGGGCCACCUGGGCCUUUUUCUGGAUCUGCCUCUACUUAAAGUUGUCAGGCAUCCAAGGGUCCUCAUUUCCCAAGUCCCCUUCAGUGACUUUGUAUUGGCGGUAAAAAUAAAGACGGGAAAUAAAAUUUGUUUUCUGCAGAGAAUGUCUGUGAGGCACGGGAACCGAGAAUAGUGGCUGGCUGGCUGCCUUUUAUUUGACAGUAAAUGGACAUCCGGGAGUUGCUGUAAGGUUUCUCAGGACCAGCCUGCUUGGAAUCCCCUCCCCGCCCCCAACACCCCAGCAAAGGCAGGGGCAGGACACAGGAGGAGCAGAGAUUUAUCAGCCGUCAGACGGGAAGAGGGUACUGCAGGGUUACCUGGAUGGCCCGGAGUUUGCCCCAUGUCGGAAGGGAAGGCUGAGGUGUGGCUCAGGCGCUCAAGGGAGACACCAAGCCUCCUGGGGCUGCUGGCACCUCUGCACUUUGGACAUGACCCCCUUCCAGCGUCUCCAGAAUGAGGGGUAUAUGCGUGUGCAUGGCCCGUGCUUUCUCGAUCCUUCUUCCUCCUCUCUCUCUCUCUCCCUCUCCCCUUUCCCUCCUGCUUCCCCAGCCCCCAGCUCAGUUUUGCUCUAAUAAGCCAGGCAGCAGCUCUGUCACUGUGUAAGCUCUUCACCCCGGAGUGCUUGGCUGUCUGGGAUGACUUGACAAAUGGUUUAGAGGUCUCUCUCGCCAGGGCUUUGUCUGCACUCACAGAAGGGAACGAAGGAAGGAUGAAACCCAACAACCAAGAUUGCCUCCAAGUCCAUCUAUGCGGUGCGCCCUCCCUGUCUCUGCUCUUGGCCUCUCCCAUGGAUGUGGGUCUGGAUGUCACUGGCCCCACUGCCAGAGUGCAUUGGCCUCUGUUCCGUGAGGGAAGACAGCUCCCAACCUGGAGACAAAGCCAUUAAGUUUCCCGUCUUAUUCAGGCCAGAGACAUUUGCAGAAACCAGAGUGAAGUGAGGGUUUGGCUCUCAGGGGCCAAGUUCACUGCACUGGCUCCCUAGUAAUCUGGCCUUUGAUAAUAAGGUCAGGAAUCGGAGAGAAGCAGGGAAAAUUGCCAAGCGUUUAACUGCAAACUAUAGCUUCCAAAUUUUAUUUAUUUUUAUUUUUUAAUGUUUAUUUUUGAGAGACAGAGAGAGAGAGAGAGAGAGAGAGAGAGAGCAAGUGGGGGAGGGGCAGAGAGAGAGGGAGACACAGAAUCCGAAGCAGGCUCCGGGCUCUGAGCUGUCAGCACAAAGCCUGACGUGGGGCUCGAAUUCACAGACUGCGAGAUCAUGACCUGAGCCAAAGUCGGAUGCUUAACCGAGCCACCCAGGUGCCCCUACAGCUUCCAAAUCUCAGACAGCACAAGGCAAUUCAAUAAUGAUUUGAAAAGAUCGAGUCCCUUGCAGCACCUCCCCCUUCAUCAAGCCCUCCCACAUCCCAGGUGGGUGAUCACUGCCCCUGUCAGGCCUGGCCCUCAGGGGCCGGCGCUUAGAGCUGGAGCCCUACGUCUUGUGUCAGACCCCCCAGCACCAUGUUCCUGUAGCAGUGUGCCAGCACAUAAUUCCUGUGCUGCCGAGGAGCCUGCACUGGCUAAGACUUAUCAGCAUUGAUGGCUUCCUAGCAUUAAAUAUGUACCAUCAGAGUAUGCAACUCCUCUAUUCUUGCUUCCCUAUUUGAAUGCAGGGGAUCUUGUCAUUGUUUUAAAAGCUCGUGAAUAUGCAGAUUCGUUCCUGAGGAAGGGCAGCCUCCCAGGACACCAUCCCCUCUUCCAUGGGCCUGCUUUUGUGUCACCCGCCAAAGGGCCCCCUCUUCAGAGCAGGAAACAGAGGGACUUUAUUUCGCUUCUCCUUACUUCAACACCCCACAGGUUUCUCUGACUGACCUACCUAUUUCGCUUAACAUAGCAGUACUCUCUAGCACCAUCUAGGUCUUGGCAAAUGGCAAGUUUUCAUUCUUUUUUAUGACUAAUAUUUCAUUGUAUAUAUGUGUAUGCACACACACACAUAUCUUAUCCAUUCUAGCCAAUGGACAGUUGGGCUCUUUCCAUAAUUUGGCCAUUGUACAUAAUUCUGCUAUAAACAUCAGGGUGCAUUUAUCCCUUUGAAUUGGUAUUUUUUUUUAAAUUUUUUUUUCAACGUUUUUAUUUAUUUUUGGGACAGAGAGAGACUGAGCAUGAACGGGGGAGGGGCAGAGAGAGAGGGAGACACAGAAUCGGAAACAGGCUCCAGGCUCCGAGCCAUCAGCCCAGAGCCCGACGCGGGGCUCGAGCUCACGGACCGCGAGAUCGUGACCUGGCUGAAGUCGGACGCUUAACCGACUGCGCCACCCAGGCGCCCCUUGAAUUGGUAUUUUUGUGGUCUUUGGGCAAACACCUCACAGUGUAGGGUAGUUCUGUUUUUAACUUCUUGAAGAACCUACUGUUCUCCAGAGUGGCUGUACCAGUUUGCACUCCCACAAACGGUGCCAAGAGGGUUCCCCUUUCUCCAUAUCCUCGCCAACCUUGUUGUUUCUUGUGUUGUUGAUUUCAGCCAUUCUGCCAGGUGUGAGGUGGUAUCUCAUCGCAGUUGGCAUGAGAUUUGCAUUUCCCUGACCAUCAGUGAUGUUGAGCAUCCUUUUGUGUGUCUGAUUUCACUUGUAUGUGGAAUUUAAGAAAUAAAACAAAUGAGCAAAGGGACAAGGUGGGGGAGGGAGGGCAAACCAAGAAACAGACUCUUAACUAGAGAACUGAUGGUCACCAGAGGGCAGGUGGGAGGGAGAUGAGUUAAAUAAGUGAUGGGGAUCAAGGAGUGCACUUGUGAUGAGCACAGGUGCAGUAUGGAAGUGGUGAAUCACUACAUUGUACCCCUGAAACUAAUAUUACACGGUACGUUAACUAGAAUUCAAAUAAAACUUUAAAAACAACCCUCGGUUUCUCAGAACUAGGUUCGAGCUAUAAAUACGAACUUUUGUAAUUGGUUUUUCCAACACAACCCAGUUGAUCUUUCCGGCACAGUGCUCUAGCCCUGGUGUGCGUGCCCUCCGUGCCGGAGAGGGGCCAUACUCCCGCUUUGCACGAGCCCUUGGAAGAGGGCAGCUUCGGGCUCUCCAACUGAAAGAUGCAGCACUUCUCCUUAGCAUAUUUUCCAAACCGGUAUACUUGGAGGUGAAGUGACCGCUGACAAAUGCACACACCGCCCCCCCCNNNNNNNNCCCCCCCCCCCCCCCCCCAUGACUUCCUCCCCACCCCCACCCCCACCCCACCCUGUGCCUUGGCAAGAUCACACUCAACUAUUGAGGGAAAGUAUUUACUGAAUGCAAGGAGAAUAUGGCGUUUCUGCAUUAUUUAUUAGGGGCUAACAAUACCCAUCAUAUGUAGAAUGUAUUUGGACAUAAAUUAGUGAUGUUAGGAAGCACCAGUGGUCCCAAACCUAUUAGGAUCUCUGACACAUAUAUGAAAACACAUCACAGUCUUACCUUUUCUACAAGGCUGGGAAUUGGCUGUGAGACAACCUCACAAUGAAAACAAAUUUCUUUAACCUUUUAUUUGCCAUUAGCCCCCUGAGCACUUCAUCUACCGUUGAGUAAAUCUUGGAAAACCAUCUCAAAUUAUGAAUUCCUAACCUUACCUUCUAACACACCUCUUCUCCUCUUUCUCUAUGAAAGUAGAAAGAAUAUUUACAUUUGUUAAGCACCUACUAUGUGCCGAGUGUCACAGCUAGCAUCUUGGUGUCUGGAGAGAUGGGCAUUGGUAUCCCCAUGUUAUGGAUUAGGUUACUGAGACUCAAGGUCAUGCAGCUGAUAACCAGGACUGUUUCAAGCUGACUCUUCUUGUCCUACAGUUGACUUUCCCUGGGCAGGAAGGCAAAGGUUUUUCUUGGCUUCUGUAUCUGUCACCACCGUAAUGCUAUGUAGCACAGAACCACAAAACCAGUGGCAUAAAGCCAUAAACAUUCGUUUUUGCUCAGGAGUCUGUGGGUCCGCUGAGCAAUUCUGCUGCUCCAAGCCACGCUUGGGUGGUCUCAGCUGGGCUCACCCAUGCACCUGCAGUCAGCUGCUGGGGCCACCAGGGUCGGUUGGCCCAGGCUUGCCUGGGCCGUCACAUGACAGCCAGGCAGAGUUCCAAGAACGUGAACAAAGCACGUGGCUUCUUGAGGCCUGGGCUCAGAACUGCCACAUUCGUUUGGCUGAAGCAAAUCAUCCGGCCAGCCCAGAUUCCCAGGAAAGGCAGGCAAACACCAUCCCGUGCUGGGAGGAGCUACAGAGUCACGUUGCAAGUGGGUACAGAGAUUGGGAAGGGAAGAAUUGGGGCCAAUUUUGCAAUUAGUCUGCCUCAGUUCCCACUGUGGGGCUGCUCUGCCCCCUUGGGGGCACCUGCUUCCCGUAAGCCUCCACUCCCCCCUCAAAGCCUGCUCUAGGAGCCUCUCCUCACUCACACUAAGGGGCAGGAUGACAGUGCUGUGGAGAAUUUAAAAUGACUCCCUUCCCAAGAGGAAGGAGGGCAGUCUGGCAGGGGUUAAGUCUUCAACUCAUCUGAUUAAGCUAAAGCAGGCGCCCUGGCAUCGGCCAGCAUGCAGAGGGGAUUCUGGGGGAGUGGGGACAGAACUUCCAGAGCUCUUGGAAACCACAUAGCUAGAUCCUUCUCCACCUACGCCUCAGAUUGUUGCUUCUUGCAGAUUCCCCUUAGGAACUGGCUCCCCCUUGCCCAGCCCCAAGCAUCGCGUUUUGCUGGUGGAGCCAGGAUGCCCCUCCUCUCCAGGAACUCAGCAGUUCACCUUCCCACCGGCCUCUGCAAGGACCUCUCUGGCCCACGUGCUUGUGGUUUCCAGGAAGGUUGGAAGGACAAAUCCAUUUCCGCAGGGCUCCAGGGCCAGCCGGGCCCACAUAGGAAGUGAUGUUGGAUGGCGGGCAGGUGCUCAGUGGACGGAGGAGGGGAAAGUAAGUGCUGGAGCAGAGGUGGCAGGCACAGCUGGGUUCCAGGAGGACAGGGACGGGCCAGGCCAGGAAGCUCAUGAGAAAGAAACGACACUUUGAGAGGAAACUGGAGAGGCAGGAGUUUAAAAAUCCUUAUCUCUGAAAGAGCAGAGAUAAGAGGAAGAAGCCAUGCACAACCUGGAGACCAAAUCAGGCCACACUUGCCCUGCUAACUCACACUCAAUGCCUUCCACCAGCAGGUAACUCAUGAGCGCCCCCUGGGACCCUCGCAAAGUGGUCCCAGAGGCCAAACUCUGAAGCUUCUAGUCUGGGAGGGAAGAGAAGCUCCUGAUUCCACUUUUCACUAGGUAUGUGGUGUAAAUAGCCCCCAAAGAGGCACCUGCCCAAUUUGGGACUUUCCAGGCAGAACGGAUUGUGUAUAUUAACACAAUUGUGUAUAUUAAGCUUGCAAAAGUUCCGUAAUUCUUCUGACCACCAGAGGGGAGAUGGACAGAUGAUGUCACUGAGAAAGGCAGCAUUUGCCUUUGGUUUGGGAAAACAAGUGGCGGAGGGAGAGGCCCGUGAAGGUUAAUCCACAGCAAAGGGGGGAAGGCCCUAGGCAGCCAUGUCCGGUCCAGUGAGCACCAGGAAAGGGAGGCACAGGGAGGCCCGGGGACCACACAGCCAGGGGAUGGCAGGGCUGGGCUUUGUACUUAGGUCAGCACGAACUGCCAAGCCCUCAUCCGUCUCUGUCUCCUCCCCCUGUCGGCUGCUCAAGAAAAAUAAAACUGUGUCUCAAGUCUUGGGAGUGUAACUCAUUUCCGUGAGACAUUUUCCUUUCCUGUCCAUUGAGGCUGGUAUACAGGAGCCCAAAGAACCUCCCAGCACAAAUUCUGUAGCAAACUGUCAGGCUGAAUUCCGCAAAGAAGAGUGUUCCGGCUCAACAGAAGGGGUUGCUUAAUAGGGGCCUGAAUUCACAGGCCAACCCCCCCCCCCCCCCACCAGGGUGAGAAGUUUCAGCUCCAGAGCAGGCGUGGCCGAAGAGUCUGGUCCGGAAUUGGGUUCCUCUUCCUUCACAGCUUCCCCAGGGACCAGGCGGGCUGGGAAGGGGUCUCUGGGCCUACGUCGUAGCUCCAGUGCUUAGUUAUGUCACCCUGAGCAAGUCCCCGAACCUUCACCAACUGUUGGAUGAGAAGCCGCACCCCCACCCCACGUUCCUCUCAAAGAUGUUGUGGCAAAGAAGUUCUGAUGGGGGUUCAGCUUUUAGCUCCAGCUCCCCACGUGGACGUCGACAGCCUCGGGCCAGACAAGAGCCCUCACGUUCCGCAGCUCAGUGAUGAAGCGCCACCUGUGGCGGAAGAUGUGCAGGUGCCAUGAACAGCUGCCACCACGGCACCUGUGGGACCCGGUGUCACGAUGAAGUGUGGUUCCAGGACGACUGUGGCCUGUGUCUGCCUCGCAGAACCGAGUUCCUCCCCCGCCCCCCGACUCUCCACGUGUAAGCGCACACACGCACACACACACAUGCACACGCAGCUGAGGUCACUCACCUGGGACACCGGGCCCUGCCAGGAAAGAAUGAAAGGGAAAACAAGCAGGCGGCAAGUGUCAGGCAGGUGGGAGCCCUGGGCCUGCCCCUACUUUGCUUCUCCCUAACAUUCGGUCUUCCCUCCCCACAGAGGCCCUGGCUUCCCACAACCCUUUAUCUCUUUGCAUGCAGAUACCAAGAGACCUUUGUCACAGGAAGGAAAAUCAGUGGUGGGUGCAAACCAACUUUUCUGUCGGGAGAAACUGUGUGGUCACUGACCUUUGUGGCACCAGGGCCCCUCCUCCACCAGGAGGAAAAGGAAAGCACAGAUGAUUCAGGGCUGUUCUUGGCCUCUUUAAUCUUUCUUUAAAUGUAUUUUGACAGAGAGAGAGAGCGGGCAUGCGCACGCACGCGAGAAAGCAAGCAUGUGGGGGAGGAGCUGAGAGAAGGAGAAAGAAUCCCAAGCAGGCCCCGUGCUGUCAGCACAGAGCCCAGCACAGGGCUCAAACCCACCAACCAUGAGAUCAUGACCUGAACCGAAAUCAAGAGUCACAACACUUGACCAACUGAGCCACCCAGGUGCCCCUUGGCUUCCUUAAUCUUCUCUAAUCCCUGGUAUUGACCCUCACCUUGUCUGACCUCCCUCUGAACACCCUCCUGAUGUGAAUCACCUCUGGCUUUGUCACCUUGCUGCGUGCCCUGACCACACACGAUGGUGCCCAUGUGACCAACCCCUGGCGUGCCCUCCACCCCCGCCUCUGCUUUUCUCCUAGAGGAGGGAGAAGCAGCAGACCCAAGUGGUCUGCAGGAGCCUGGGCUAACCUCAGACCUUCCAGAAAUAUGAGACUCAACCCGCCCUCACCGCUGAUGAACACCUGCUGUUGGGUUUCUGACACAUUCCUGGGUCAUAGGGAGCUACGUGGCUUGUUCCUAGCUGUUUAGAAAUGGGUAUUUGACCACAGUGUAAUAUGUUCACACCAAAGCCAUUCACACUCGACUUGUGCCUGUGGGGAUAGCUGGCUUCGCACCUCAUACCAGCUUCCAGGCAUCAUUUGGGCUUAGAUUUUCAAAACAGGUGUUCUCCCUCUUGUUUUUAGUUCCCUUCAGCUGCAGAUCAACCGCUUUUGUAAGAAUCGUGGGGUGAAUGCUGUCAGUGGUGUUUUUGUUAUUUCCGUAACUGUCGGGGGUGGAAAGCAAACCUGCCUCUUGGAACCGUGAAGAAGUAAAAAACUUACGGCACCAAAACAGAAGUGUGGGGUGCCAGCUGCCAGGUGUAGGGACUCUGAGCCGGUUAUGUGCCUACUGCCUCGGUAUUUGGGGCUUUUGGACUUGCCGUACCUUUGCAGACCGCACGCUGCAUCUUUGCGUUGGUUGGUGUGAACCCGGUGGAUUUAGAAAGAUGCUGGAAAGGGACACACAGGAUCUGUCGGUCUGUUCUUUCUCUGCGUUUGCUGAACGUUGUGCCUUGAACAUCUUUCUCUUAAAGUGGGGGAUCUGAAGUGACAGUGUAGUCAAGCAUGCUGGCUCCCCGUGUCGCGGAGGCGUCCAAGGAGGUUUAUAAAAGCACAGAUUCCAGUACCCUGCCCCACACAGUGAAAAUCAGAAUCUCUGAGGGUGGGGCCCCAGAGACCGCCCUGCAAACAGAUCCCCCCCUUAUGGGCCAGUGUCACGGAUGCUGUUUCGGUACAGGAGAAAGACGGAGAGCCGGAAGACAGGAUUACCCUGGGUUUGGAGCAGACUUGGAAUGGUACCUACCCCAAACCUAUCGCUCACCCCCUCUAGGCCUCAAUUUUCUUCAUUUUAAAAUGAAAAUAGAGGCGCCUGGGUGGCUCAGUCGGUUAAACGUCUGACUUCGGCUCAGGUCAUGAUCUCGCGGUCCGUGAGUUCGAGCCCCACACUGGGCUCUGUGCUGACGGCUCAGAGCCUGGAGCCUGUUUCAGAUUCUGUGUCUCCCUCUCUCUCUGACCCUCCCCUGUUCAUGCUCUCUGUCUCAAAAAAUAAAUAAACGUUAAAAAAAAUUAAAAUGAAAAUAAUUCUGCCAGUUUACUUGCCUCAGGAUUCCUGAGAGGGGGGGUGGGAAGGGAGCCCUUGUACAAUGCUCUCCUGGGCCUCUGCAGAGGUCAGCGUCACUACAUCCACUGGAUGAGGAACGUUCUGAUAGGUGAAGCAGUCUUCCGAGGUCCCAAGUCCCUGUAGGUGAAGAAGCCCGGCUUUGAAUCCAGGUAUGUCUGGUUCCAGACCUUUCCUUCCCAUCAAGGUGCUCCUCUGAGAUUUUAGAGAUCAGGCGUAUGCUUAGCGGUCGGCUGAGGCAUGUGAACCAGCAGCAUUUGCCUGGGAGCUCAUUAGAAAUGCAGGUUCUCAGGCCCCACCCCAGGCUGACUGCAUCAGAAUGUGCAUUUUAGCAAGCUCUCCAGUGAUUCCUGGGCACCUUAAGGUUGAGAAGCACUGUUGAGGAAGACUUGGGAUUGGACAAGAGAGAGUAAGUCUGAAGAUCACAGUGUGGUAAACAAAAAUGCUCACAGGGAUGAGCAAGGAGGCCGCCUUUACUAGGAGGCUCCCGUGAGGAGUGAACAGGCGUGGACCAUUUCAGCCUUUCUGUCUGAGCUUCUGUUACCAGGGAAGUAUGCCUUAUCUAAGAAAGUCUGGGCCUCCAGGAGAAUGGGUUUUAAGAUGGACACAAAUUGUUUUUAUAGGUGUGUGUAUAUUUAAUUUUCAAAGAUAAUAGGAUUACUUCUAUUUUAAAAAAGAAAGACGAAAAAAUCAGGAAGAAAGCGUUUAGCGAAGUGUCAUCACUUUUCAUGCAUUUCAGAAGUGACUCCUUUAUAGCAGAUAGUACCCACCAGGGAGGAUGGUCAGUUGGGGGGGGGGGGGGAGGGUGUGCUCAGGGUCCUGAAGAUCUUCUCUAUACAUGCUGGUCCUUAGGUUACAUCCUAAGACCCAUCGAAGGAGGGUCCCCUGAUACUCACACUGUAGCGGCUCCCCAGCACAAGAUGCUCCCUGCAGAAGGCAAUGCCCUGACCCAGGGCUCAGAAGCGAAACUGGCAAACCUGGGCUUUGAGGAAUGUGGGAAAACCUCCAUGCAGCCUCCGAAGCUGCUAGCUUUGGGGGAGUGUCAGUCCAGUACACAGAAAUUCUCAACCUGGGCCAGAUCUCACGUUUCAAUUCCUGAUUUGUAUUCACUGUGUUGUUUACCCCUUACAAGUCACUUUUCUGAGACCAAGUCCAUCUGUGAAAUGCACAAAUCCCCCGGAAGUGUCUGGGCACCAUGUGUCAUUGGCGUGCCGACCAUUCAUUUACACCCAUGGCUCCAAAAAGAGCCAGUCGGGAAGAUUACGCAGACUUGCUCCCUGCCUUCUAGGAAGUUGUAUAGGGUAAGGCAGACAGGGUGACAUACGUUAAUGUCCCCCUAAGUCUGGGCUGCUUGACACCCUCAGCCCUGGUCUUUUUGUACUUGCUUCACUUCAAACUACCCAAAGUGGAGUGGGCCAAACCAACUUCUCUUGUUUCAGUCUUUCCCUCCUUGUUGUGUUGUUGUUUUGUGUUUCCUUAGUUUUUCAAAAGGCUGCAGGAAUGGGGAUGGUACUCCCAUUCUGUUACUUCUAAUUUCGUUAACAAUUUUUUGAAUCACGUGAGUAGAAGCUUUGAGGUUGAGAAAUUACGCACUUUCAAGUUUUGAUUCCAGAAAGUCAUGUCAGCUCAGCUGUAAACACUUCUAGAAGCUGAAUCUGAAAGAGGAACUGCCUGCCCAGGCUUCCCCUGGGGAGCUGGAGGCAUCGCCCCCUUCACGGUGCCUGAUUUCCAGAGAUCAGGAAGUUUAAGGGUGUGCCGGGAGGCAGGGGGUAAAAAAGAAAGCAACUGCAGUUGGUUUAAAACCACACAGUGCAGAACAGUCCUGGCGUUCUCUCGUUCCUCCCUUCUGCCACUAACUGGUGCCUUCCAUCACCGGGAGAUGAACCGGGAAGGCUGGUUAUUGACAGCUGGGCAAUUUGCACAAUAAAGUUUAACGGCUUACAUCCCCUCGUAGGACUCUGUCAAUGUUUUCAACGGAUCAUCUUCUCAGGUGCUGGUUCUCACGCUCGUACUGACUCGCUCCUUCUUCUCUUUCCCUUCAAGCGUGCAAACGCAAAGAGCAAGAACCAAACAAAGACAGGAACAAUUCCCAGAAGAAAUCGCGCCUGGUGUUCACCGACCUCCAACGCCGAACGCUCUUCGCCAUCUUCAAGGAGAACAAACGCCCGUCCAAAGAGAUGCAGAUCACCAUUUCCCAGCAGCUGGGCCUGGAGCUGACGACCGUCAGUAACUUCUUCAUGAACGCCCGGCGCCGCAGCCUGGAGAAGUGGCAGGAUGAUCUGAGCACAGGGGCCUCCUCGUCCACCUCCAGCACUUGUACCAAAGCGUGAUGGAAGGACUCUCGGGCGGGCACAGGUCGCCUCCGGAUGAGGACAACCGACACCAAAAGAGAACGCAAAGGAAAAAGACACCGGAUUCUUAGCUGGGGCCCUUCACUGGUGAUUUGAAAGCACAAUUCUCUCGAAAAGAAACUAUUCUAGCUGUAAUCAUAGGCCAGGUGUUCUUUUUUUGUUUUCUUUUGUAAUGGCGAUGGAGUCCAAGUGCAAGCUGAAAAUUCAUCUCUUUGAACCGGACAUUGUCCUCCGAGCAUGCUAAGCGUCCCAGAAACCCAAAUGGGGCCUUCCUGGAGCGAGUUAGUUUCAGUGUGGUGUCAGCCAAGCUCAGGAUCACUUCCAGUGUCAACGAUCUCGCUUUGGGGCCCGUUUCAGUCAGGGUUCCCCCGUGUCACAGUGGGAAUUCGGCCUGUGGAAGGAUUCUGAGAUUGGGCUCCCAAGACGCUACUAUGAGAGAUUCUUCUGGCAACAAGAAUGACCUCAUUUGCUUUCUGAGUGCUUGGCCUCAUCACACCACAGUACACCAAAGUUCACAGCCAUAACAUAGAAAAAAAAAAAAAAAAGGCAAAAAACCCCCAAAACAUCAGAAUGAUAAUUACUGAGCACAACUUUUAAAUAUGGAAAUUAAAAAAAAAAAAUCCAAGGACCUGUUUUUCCAACUCAGGCAUCGUUCCAUUGAAUGGUUUAGAGAGCUUUAAGUUGAUCCAGUUUACAAUUUUCUUUUCCUUACCUCCUGGAAAUCUCACGUGGUCUUGGAUCCAUCAAAAAAAAAAAAAUCAGUUCUCUCGAGCUCAACGUAUCAAGCACAACGUAGAUAAACAGAGAAGUAAGGAAGGUUCUGGAUUCACCACAUCUGGAUUUUCAAGACGCUGAUUGUGAAGUCAUGAGGGAACCGUUGGGAAUAUGGCUUCAAGCACAUUUUGCAGUUUGCUACAAAUUCUGUUUGUACAUAAUGCAGACACGCACACUCAGGAGGCCAAUUUAACUGUUACGGUACAUGGAGCAAAUGCAGCAUUUUAAAAGAUCUAGAUUUUUUUAGAUCAUUAAUGUUCCUUCUUAGUUAUCAGUCACCUGGUUCCUCCUAUUGUGCAUUGUAACCACCACGUAAUUCAUUCUCACUCUUUCAGACUUCAGUUAUUUCCACAUCCAUCCCAUUGGUAGGGACGUUUUUCAGUGUUUUCUAGCAAGAAAAAAAAAAAGAAGUAAUUCAAACCACCGUACGUGUUACUCAUGAGGGUCAUCUAGUCCCAAACCUCUUCCAUUGUCGAAUCAUCCUCGCAAAACAGCUGAGUAAAUCUGGAGAAAACACAGCACACCAAAGAAGCAGAAUACUGCAAACCAAAGACAUUUAUUACUUGCCAUUUUCUAGCCUAAAAAUACUGUGAUUACUUUUAGAAAUCAGAAAACCUCUGCGACUCCGAAUGGCAUUCAGCUCUUGCAUCUGGCUCACCAUCGGGCUCAGCGAAGCGGCUAGCCAAGCCACCCAGGGAGCGGCUUUGCCGAGCCAGCUCUGGUUCCCGGCUGUCACCUUCCCAUAGCGAGGGGAAGAGCGCCCACAGAACUCUGGGAGAUUGCGAAGGUCACGAUGUGCAUACUUACCAGUGAAUGGCCCCAGGGGGGCACCAUGGGGGUGUUCAAAGCAAGCCAAACGCUGCAAUGAUUCUUUACAGACACUUGAGACUGACUUUUUUAUGAAUUACUUAAUCGAAACCAAAGAAACUUUUUCUGCACCUACUUCUGCAACAAACAAGACUGUUCCAUUAAAAUGAAUAAAUAAAUAAAUACGUAAAUCAAUGAAAAUCACCACCACCAAGAAGGAAGCACGCCAGAAAAAAAACAAAAACAAAAACAAAAAAAAAAGAGCGAGACACACUGUGUUUAAACAGACCUCUUGGGACAUUUUUUGGAAGCAGAUUGUAAAGAAAGGGUUGAGACAAGAACAGAUCUAAGGAAAAGCCUCAGCGGCUGCUGCUUCAUUUGACAACUCACGCGGUAAUCUUAAAGUUGAAGAUUGUCUUUAAUUUGUGCCUAUGCAGUUUUUCAAAAGAACACGGAACAGAGCAACAGAAACCUCAACAGCUACAAUACCAAAGAUGAGGAUUUCUCACAUCUUUUGUUUCAAUUCAUUAUCUCCUCUUGUCUGGCUAAAAUACUAAUAGCGUCAUUGAUCUGUGUAAAGGUAAUCAAUUUUGUUUCUGAGCAACAAAAGGAAAGGGUCAUUGAUUUGAUUUGAUUGUUUCCCUUUAAUUUUGUUUUAUGGCUUUUCUACCCCAACAUGGAAUCUCUCAAAAGCUUCCAUGGACUCCAAGUUUAAGAUGUUGGGAUACUGAACUAUUCUCUCUACUCCUCAGAGUACGGGGAAUAAUGUCACUUGAAUGUUCUUUGCUUAUCCCUUAGACUUGGCUCCUUCUAUGUUCAGAGUCUCAGCAUCAGGGGAGGGAAGGGGAGUGAGGGUCAGGGUUAGGGGUCUUGGUGACACAUCCUCUCCUGAACCACAGAACCAAAGAGUUUAUAGAGGAAUCAACAGCCUCAUGUUCAUGUGAUUGCUACAUCAUAAUGGCUUCAUUUGGGGGUGGGGGGAAACAUGUAAAAAUAAUUGCCAGUUUCUACUUUUCUAUUAGCUUUUUAAAAAUCAGCUGUAAAGUUGCAUUUCUAAAGAAAGAUAUAUAUAUAUAAUAUAUGAAUACAUAUAUAGAUUCAACUUGACAUUUGGUGAUAACCCAAAAUUAUUGCCGUCCAAAUCCAUGUCUUGUUUUGGUCAAGUGCUUCAUUUAUUAAGCAUUCGGUUCAGAAUUUUGCUCAUCUCUCAUGACAUCCCAGAGUCCAUCUUCCACUGUGGGUGAUUUGGAGUAUUCAGAUUUCUGUGGAAAUUCCCAGGAAGGGUUGAAAGUCCAAUUCAAGCAUUUCAACAUUUAACCUGUUGAUCAAUGGAUUCAUGGUGCAAAUGAGUUUUACUUGUACUUGGGGUCGUCUCUAUUCUACGCCUCAACCACGAUCAAGGUGGCGAGUGAGGUCUGUCCGUGAGACCCGGUGCGCAAGUGGGGCAGGGCCAGUGGGGCGCUCAUCUUCUGUAACUGCUGGGAAGGCUCAGUGGGCCAUUCCCACUGGCUAUGGAGAUGAGGCCAGCCCAGAAAUCUGUUCUCCAGGAGCUACUCUGUCCCGUCAGGGUGUUCCAGAUCCCCUCAGUGAGCAGAUUCACCAAAGGGAAUUCUCAAAGGGGAGGUCCAACUCCUGUUGCAAUGGGUUGAUCAGUUUCCUCAGGGUGGUAAUUACCAAUUUGUAUUGACAAGCCUGUGUGCAACCACAGCGGGCGCUGGAGUGAGGCAGUGGUGCUGACUGGGGGCUUGUCUUGAUCCCGGAGAGAAAAUGCAAAGCAGGGUGCAGGGAGGAUCCCAGAGUCCUGCCCCUGGGAGCCCCACCGUCCGUUGUGCCACCUCCUUGCUCCCGCCAUGUGAGUCUCCCUUUGCAGGGGCAGCCGCCACGGAGCCGUGAAGGAACGCGACCCUCCAAGGCUUUUGUACUUCCUCCUACCUCGGAUGUUCCGGGACUUUCCCCUGUAUCCUUUUGUCUCUUGCUCAUACCCCAUUUCCCCUUUGUCAAAUGACCUAGGAAAGAGUGUAUUUCAGCAGGGGAAUGCUCCGUAUGGGUUGAGAAAAAUGAAUUUCAACUUGGCUAUUUCUGAAUGAAAUCCUUGUGACUUGCGGCCAACGUUCUGGAGACUGGAUUGGGGACCAAGCCUGCUCGGUUUGGUUAGUGAUCCUUGGCAGGCUAACCUCACUGUUUGGGUUCUGGCAUCCUCUGAAGAGGUCAAGACCAAAAGAGGCUGCCUCUGAGGCCUGAGAUUUCCAUACUGGUAAAAUCUGGUGUAGCCACAUACACCCCCUCAGUGUUCCUGGUGACCUGAGGAAGAUGUCAUCAUGUAAAAAAGGCAAGAACUUCCCUCCAAGGACUUCUGUUAAGUGUCCCCUACUGGAUAAUGUCAUACCGGAGAGAAGCGCUUGCCUUAAGAAACGAGUUACAUACAUAUAUAAAUACAUGAGCGUAUUCAUAUAUUUAUGUAUCAAAAUUUUAAGCCCGACAGAAUUUCAACUUGUAAAAGUUCUGAAAGAAAAAAAAAAAAAACAACCCUGCUAAUUGAAAGGUAAUGGAAUUUGACUCAGUGGGUUUCCUCAAGCAUUUUAAAAUUUACUUUAAGUUAAUGAUCUCAGAGAACAUAACCAUUUGGGCUUGGACUUCUACUUUAGCGUCUGUUUCUUCAAGACAAGAAAAAUUCCAAGCAUGCCUCAGCCAUUAGCAACAAAGGGGACAGUAUGAAGGGACAGUUCUGAACCAAAAUUCACAUUCUUGAGGCAACAGAAACCUAAAGGCUAUUGAGUGGAAAACUACUUUUCUUUAUUCCUGUAGGGAAAUUGGCUCACUCUUUUGUUUUUAACGUGAUUUUGGUACUGGGGAUAUAAGUCUUUCAUUUCAGGGAAUUGUUUAACAGAGCCAGCUCAUUUCUUUCUUAAAGGAAAACAGCAACAACAAUAAAAGCUCAACCCUGAUAUUUAAAGACUUUUCCAAAAUGUAAAAUGGUAGGUUGUACCCCUUGAAGGUAGAGGAGAGAAAAAGAAAUGAAGGACCCAGCAUGACUCUGUCUCCGGAUACAUCAGAGCAUCACCUCUGCGUUUUUUCCCACAGGCUCUUGGCAAUUGUGGGCUUAGGGAAUUUAAGCAAUUUUUCAUUCUAGCUAAAAGGAAAUCAAAACUAGGAAGGUAAACCUGACUCUCUCUCACACACACACACACACACACACAUAUAUAUAUUCAUAUUCAUUUUUGUAAUUCCAACAGUGUAUUUCAAAGCCAAAUAUAAUCAAUCACUUAAGCUUACCUAUGCCAGGCACCUACCUUUUAAUGCCAAUCCAUUAAAGCUGAACAAAUAUUUAAAAAAAUCACUACCACCCGGUACAGGCGGGGACACUUUCCCACUUUUGAAAAUGCUGGCAGAAUUACUGAAGUGUCUGAUUACCAUUACCAAAGUGUCAUAAGAAUAUACCUUGGUGGUGAACUCUGAUUUUCAGGAGGUUGUACAGUAGGAAUUUUUAAAAAUAUAAAAAGAACAGCCUGAGCCCCAAUAUUGUUGAAGAAUAAUGGACUAUAUUAAAAAGCAGAGAAAAAGAGAUGAUCAUGUGGUUAAGGUCGACCCGAAGGCCCCAACAUGAAUACUGUGAAAAUAACAGUCAUGAUUCUUAACGGAUCAGAGAUGGUUUUUUGUUGUUGUUGCUGCUGAUGCUGUGUGAUUCAGACCUGUUAGCCUAACCGGGGGGAGUGAGUACGCAAUGAUAGAUGGAGGUGGUGUGCCUAGAACUUUCUAAUAUUCACGUGCAAGACUGGUAGCUUCAUAAUUUUGUACACUUAGCUAAGACCAAGUCACCUGUAAAAACAACAGGAGAUUCUAGCUUUCAAGUAAGGCCACAAAAUCCUUCCUAAAGGAAGAAGUCCCAUAAAUUAAUGACAUUGGCUUUAAAUAAGGACGUUCCAAAGCUUAUUUUCCAUCCAUGAUUUAUUUCCUUCCAAGGGGGGGGGGGUAGGGAGGGGUGGUUGUUUUAGAAAGCCUCAGAAUGUGUUAUAAAAUACAAAAAUAAUUAUUAAAAUAAUAUAAGGCCUUACAUAUGGGUAGACACAAAGCCUGUAAUUGAGGCCGAUGGGCUAUCGCAUGAAUCCCACCGGGACCAGAAAGGCUCAUGGUUCUCAGAUACCAAAAUGACUCUGACAGUCUGAGGCAAGUUAAAGCUACAACCCCAGAAUUCCUUAUAGGGUUUUGAAUUUGGUUGACUGGAAUUAAUCAGCUAAGACCUUUGUAGCAGAGAAAAUGUGUAUAGGAAAAAACAGAUUGCUACAGGGGUGUUCAUUCCAUGGAAGCCUUCCAUUUCACAGACACUUCACAGAACAUAAACCUUGGUAGAUCAGUUUGCCUAAAGCUUAUACAGUCCGUCGGCGUGGAUGUAUACGGAUUUAGGGAUGUCUCUCGACAUCCCUAUGUAUCCCCGUAGCAGCACAUAUUACCUGUGGGUGUCCAUACUGUGCAGACAUGUGUGCACAGACAUCUCCAUACAUAGCUUCUGUCAUCUGUUACAAUAAAUGAAUUUAAGUGAUCAUUUAACAUCUACGUGAGCCUUCUACGAUGUACCUUGCUGUAUUUAUUAUAACGUUGAAAAAAACUGAAGUGCAGGAAAGAAAAGUAUCCCAGCAUCCUCGUGGUGUACACUCGGAAUUACUUUCAUUUGGGCACAUCCAAGAUAAACUCAACUUUCAAGAAACCUUGGAUAUUGUUUAAUCAUCUGAGGAAGAAUGACACAUAUGCUUGAUGACUUCGGUUGAAUAGCUUUAUUCUGGAUCUCUCAUAACUACGGCUAAAUCCAAAGACCUGGAAAAAGACAAGAAAGAAAAAAAAAAGAAAAAAAAAACAAAAAGAAAAAAAAUAGCAAAACAAAGUGCAAACUAAUAGGAGAAAAAUGAGCUCUGGUUUCCAGGGUUGAGACAAUGUGCUGUGGUGUUGUGGGGGCUGCACCAGCUACAGGGGGAAAGCGGGGAUUUUUUUCUUUGUGCUUGUCACAUCUCAGUGGUCUUUAUGAACAUGAGAAAGCUUGAGAGGUUAUGAUUUCCUGCUUUAUUUUCAUUUAGACUUUCGAAAGAGGCUAUACAUUUUGUCCAUCAAGAGAAUGAAGACAGUUAAAAGAAACUUUUUUCUCCCCCUUGUCUCUUUGGGUUAUGACCCAACAAGCUAUGUACCAUUCAUGUAAUUAAUUUAUUUAAAUUAGUUUCUAGCACACAAACGUGUAGGAUUUGGGUAAUUAUUUAAUCGUCUUACUUUGAUUUUACUCCUUGUACUUAUUUAUCAAACUAUAGACCAACGGUGCAUCAGAGAUGCAAGCUUUCAUUUAGAAUUCUCUUGAAAGGUAGUUUGCUUUAUAAAGCAGUGAAAUUCUGUUACAGACAGGGAAGAAAUACAGGUUACCAAAAAAAAAGGAAAGAAAGAAAAAAAAAAUCAAGGUAUUUUUCCUUCUUGAAUUAACUCUGGAAAUAGUUUAAAUAGUGAUUAUUAAAUUAUUUAAUUUAAGUUUGCAGCCCCACCUGGUAGCAGGCAAACUUCACCUUUUAAUUAUUGGGGCCCUCAGAGCCUUCCUAUCGUAACUUAUUUAUUUAACUUAUUCAGCAUCUACAAAAGGUGCGCCGUAUAGUUUAUAUUUUUUAUUUAAAACAAUAGAGAGCACUGCAGCUUGUUUGCUGUCAGAACAACAGAGCAAAGUGUGUGGACAAGCAGAUGACUAUUCAACCCGAACCUGUACAUUCAGACCCUGCUUCACCAGCCUGGAUUUCAGGGCGGCUUCACAGAAACUGGAAAAAAUAAAUUGAAAAGGUCGUAACAGCAAAAAGAGAGAAAACCCUUACACUAGCUGCUUCCAAGAAUGAACUCUGUGUGUGUGUGUGUGUGUGUAAAACAACAAAACAAAAAAGGGAAAAAAAAAAGCAGAAAAAAAAGGAAAAAAAAAAGGAAAAACUUUCUAUUUCUAGUGAGAACCAAAGAAGGCUACCUCACUGACUUUUUCCAUUUGUAAUUUUAAUCGUGUUGAAGACACCAAAGAUACCAAAGAUUUCUUUCUCUGUGCGGUCUGCAUUUUGCUUGUGCUCUUUUAUAAUUUUAACUAUUCUCUCUGACAUAUGGUAUUUACAGCGGCUCAGAUACCCCAAAGAAAUAAUUAUCUAUGUGACGGUGGCUGCUAAUUUGGAAAGGGAUAUUUUCUGUGUUUCUCUCAUUUGUUCGCUGUCCCCUGCACAUGUUCAGAUGCUGCUGUAAUUGGAUUCCUUAAAUCCCAGUUUCAAAUUGGUGAAGAAGGCUGGAUGGAAGUGGCCUUCAGUGCUAGCCACGACCUCUGUCCCCGCUUUGGAGCUGUCACAGUAAAGAUUUCUAAUUCCUGAACCAUAGAAAUUCUAAUCAUUGAGGGGAAGAGCUGGAAGGGACCUUAGAAAUCACGUGGUCCAACCCCCAGGGGCCUGGAGGAGUGAAAUAUUUACCCAAGUCCAACAGCUGUCUGGAGGCAAAGCCCAGACGGGCCUCCCGCCCUCCUGUUCCAGAGCUGCACCCCCGGCUCAGUGCCACCUCUGCAUGAGACGGGCCACAUGGCAGCAGAGAGGAAGGUGGCAAUCCCGUAGCCACGAGCGGAGCCUGGGGCUUGUCACUUAAUGUUUUCACGCUGUGGAAGAAGCCACAGGUAUUACAGCGUUUGUCCAGUUAAAAUCUCAACGUGACGUCACCUAUGAUCAGUCGCUUGUAAAGGUGGUCGGUCUUGCGAUAUUAAAGCUCACAGAGGGGUUUUCACCCUGGCAGUGUGCGUUGAUCCGGGUGACCACCGUUGAACCUCUGCGUUACAAAAUGUUGUAUAUAUAAGCAUUGAAUUCAGCGAGAAGAGAAAGUUCAUUCUUGGUCUGCUGAGUUUAAUGAUUAUGGAUAUUUUUAGGUCAUAUUUAUCAGGAAAGGGAAUUUGAGCAGUACACGUGUGACACGGAAGGGGUUCGGCUUUUGGCCUCUUCCUCUUGAUUUGUAGGUGUGUAUACUUUGUUUCUAGGCCAGCUCUGUAUUUCUGAGAAGUUUAAGCCUCACAUCCUUGGAUCCUUAAGGAUUAUUCAUUGUAAAUGAAAGAUGACCCUAAAAGUUCACAGGAAUAGACAGGCCACUUUAAGAAACAAUUGACUUGAAGUUGCUUCUCUCUUCCCUUCUUACUCAUAAAAUGAAUUGGUCUUUUUAAAUUUUCUUUUGGGUCCAUUCAAUGAUUAAAUCACCAUUAAGAUCCAUUCAUCAGAGUGAUUUGUAUGUUAGCCAAUGAAUCAUUCGCAGCUUUUGACCAAAUGGGUUUUAGACAUAGGCAAAGAUCCCCCUCUAGUCUUUAUGGCUCUUUAUUGAGUACUAGUAUUUCCCACUUCACAUAAUAGAGUUAUCUUUGAGCUUUUAAAAAGACCACUAGGCAAAGAAGCUAAGAAGGGAAAAGACCGAUCGGCUCAUGUGUCCCAUGCAUCAAAAGACUGUAGCUAGUAGAAAGCAGACUGGCAGGCUAGGAGCCGCUUACCCCUUUCUGCAGUUUCCAAUACAGAUCUAUUCGAAAGUCCUCUCCCGUCCAGACAAGCUCCAAGCUCCAUCUUCCCCCAUACAAGGCAAACUCGUAAGGCCUUCCUUCCAUUUGGUUUUCUUCCCCAAUUCCUAUUAAAAAUAGAAUCCUCAGAAUACCGGGGAGACCUAAGAAAGAAGAUCCGACGGUUGAGCAAGGGUGCUCCCCUAGAAGCAAACACCUUCUUCCCCAGCCUUCCUACCACCAAACCCCACAAGAGGGAACCUAGAGAGAGCGACUGCAGCCUGAACACAGAAAACAUCCCUCGAUUGGCAGACCCCUCCUCAGCAACACCCCCGCCCCCGCCCCCAACCCCAGCCUCAUUCUUCACUUGCAAAGUGUGACAUAACCACGGGACGAGUGCCUUGCUUGAACCAAAGCAACGAUUUAGCCAGUCUGGACCUCUCUGUGCUUUUUUUAAUCCUUCCUGUGAAUACCUCAGCUUCAACUGGGCCUCCAUACGGUAAAUUGGUGGGCUUAUUGUACUGUGGUGCUUUGCAACGCAACCCUGCAAAGAACACGAUUUGUACUAAUACCAAAGGUUCUUUCUCUCUGUCUCCUCCUUCUGCCUCCCCCGUUCUUGUCCCUUUUCUAGUCCUUCAUGGUUCCAAAGCUUUACUAUGAACCUGGGCAUGUUGGCAAUGCAGACCGCGCAAUUCCUUACCGAAUUUUCUCAGAUAUACCUCAUAGAUAAUAGUGUUUAGAGUAAUGUUAUUAUAGCGUAUGUAAUAAAUUAUUCACUGUUUCUUUUGGUAACUGUGAUUUAAAAAAAGAAAAAAAGAAAAAAAAGCUUUAUACGUUUUAGGUUGUGCUUUUGUAAUAGACAAAAAGGUGCGCUUAAAAAAAAUGUAUGUUCUUUUUUGUUCCCCCUUUGGAUUUUAUUUAUUCUGGAUUGGGGAAAGUUGCAGAAUGAGCCCAAAGUUUACAGUUUCAUAUUUUGCUGAAGAAACAAUCUGUGUUCAUUUGCUCUGUUGAAAAAAAAAAUUAUUUUCUACAUUUGUGCUACUUGGUCUGAACAAUUAAUUGUUCUGUGUUAACAGUGUAGUAUUAUAAUUAGCAACUGCCAAUCAGUGCUAUAAUUUUAUGCAUGAGGCUAAAACUUUAGCAGUGUGAUGCAUUGUGGUCUUAAUAGCAACAUUUUUCAUUUUGAACUAGAUCUUCCCCUUUGGUUCAAUGGACUUUUUUUAUGCAUGGGCGCCCAUCGUUUGUUAGCAAUUGUGGAACAGUUGUGUAUACAUUAAACUGUGAAAAUGUACACAGUUCAGCCUCAGACAUUGGUAAUAUUGCUUUUAUUGGGAGAUGUCUCACCUCAAAAAUACACUUACAUCUGUUGGGAUUUCAAAAUGAGUCAGAUGGAAUCAAGUUCCAAUUUUGCGAGAAAGGUCAUUCCAAGUUUGAGUUACCAACUUGCAUUCCACAAAUUGGGAUCCUCAUGACCCAGCAGUAUCACUGUAUUUGAGAGGGGUCUGGAAACAAGCGCUGAAAAACAACUCUGCAUUUUUAAUGUCCUCGGAAAGGAGUCACUUUGGCUUUAUGUUCAUGACCUCGGACCUAACUGGCCUGUGUAUUUGGAGAUGUGAAUUCAUCCAGCCCUCGCCUCUCCUAGAUCUCUGCCUGGGAAUGGCCACUUUCUGCUUGGUUUCUUCUGGUAUUUUGUGGUCAGGUCAGUUCUCAGUAGCAACUCAAAUGGAGUCAAUAUCGGCAAUUACUCUCUGGCUUUGUUGUCCAUUCUCCCGGACAACCCCACCAACUGUUCCAGUGAUUUAGGCCAAAAUGGCCAUUUCUCAAAACACCACCUGUGCAGCCAAAUCAUGCUUCUUGCUCCCAAGAGUCAGAGGUGACUCUGUUUCCUGCCCAACAAUUUUAUGUUUGUCCUAAAGGGAGUAUAAGAAGUUUUGAAACACAGUUUUGGGAAACCAUCUUGGUUUAAACUCCCCAAUUAUCUGAGGCCGCUGUAUCUCAAAAAGUAUUUUACAGUUGCAGUGGGUCGGGCAGACUUGUUCUUCCUUACAUUUGGGGUCUGAAACUCAUUCUCAAGUUUCAUACCUAUUUCCCAAAUCAGUAUGCUUGACAUAAAGCCAAACCAACUGCCAAGCACACUUUAUUCUGCGUAGGAGAGUGCAGUUAGGGAAACAGUGGUGGGAAAACAGCCAUCUGCUAUGCAAAAUAUCGGAAAUCACCAACAGUGGAACAUUCCUAUUAUUGGUCAACGAGAAUUUGGGGGAACGCGCUUUCAUCACCAAUAGAAACAAGCAUAUUUUUUAUUUGGCCUUAUAAAGUAGCUUGUGAUAAUAAAAGCUUUGUAAUAUAUAGUCUUUUUAAUUUUUUCCCCGUAUUAAUUUGCCAAAGAUGGGAAUGGAUAGAAGAAUUUUCAGUUGGCUUUUGUAAGACAGUUAAUGAUUGUAAUAGUGUUCAACCUUCCAGAAAGCUUUAUAUGUUCUUCUGCAAUAAACCGAAUCAAUUGUUUGUUUCAGUGAAGUUCUCCUCACAUGCGCAAACCCACAGAUAUCUUGGUGCAGAUUUUGUAACAUCUACAAAGUUCAAAUGCAUUUUCGAUCCAAAGUAAACAGAGGAGUGUCUGAGACAUGAGCGUGCCCAGCCCUUUGUAUUACAAGCAACGCAUGGGUCUUGCUCACUAGGAUUUGCCAAGAAGACUUGUCUUACGAAACUCGAGGUAUAUUUUGUUAUGCCAUUUUAUGUCCUUUUUUUUAAAAAAAAAAAAAAAACUUUGUGGAAAGUGAUAUGUUGAAUCAAGUGUAAGCUGAGUUUUCCAGACAACUGAAGUAGCUACAUCGUGAAUGUUAUUUUGUUAUUAAAAGGUUUUUACUCAAUGCUUUGUGCCCGUGGACGUCCUUUCCUUGGAGACACAGAACUAUGGAAUUUCCUCAGCUUGGCCUGGAUUCUGCUCCUGCUCUCAUGGGGGAACGAGGCCAUGGCCUGGAAAAUUAAGGUCCUGGGCAAGAAGGUAGAUUUGGGCUCUAGGAAGAGAUCUCCUUGAGUGUCACUUUAAAGAGAGCUGGGCCAAGCUUGCUAACUUUAUACUCUCUCUUUCUCUCUCUCUCUCUCUCUCAAUGCCAGCACUUCUCUGAGAUCCCUUGUCCUUGAGCACAUGCCAGCAUGAAAGCAGACCCCAAUUCUUACAGGAAAGGCAAGGAAGAAAGAAUAGCAAUCCCCAAUCUUCAAUGGCUCACCAAGCACCCAUCUUUCCCCAGGUGGGGCUCUGCCAGCCAAGGAUGUGGGUGGCCCAUCUGGUUGGCUUCCCCACCUUAACUACUGCAAAGCAUACAGGUCCCACAGUCCAGUCGGGCUCUUUCCAACUAGAAUCCCCCUUACCACUCUUCCUCCGCGUCCUGGUUUAGUUAUGCCAUCCACUUUUGUCCACUUGCCGACAGUUAUGUGGAAAACAAAGAAAGGUAUGAAUGGGUUUUUCUGUCAUUUUGUUUCUAAUUCGUACUUCAGCUAGUCCCAGUUCUUUGAUCUGGAAAAAUACCAGAGAGAAAAGAACCCCUCACUGCCUCUUUGUGCCUUGCUGCUCUCUGAGGGGGCCAUGCACAUGCCCUGUGCUAUUGAUCUUUCUUAAGGGGCCGGCGGAACCACAGCAGUCAAACCAACCAGGACACGGCCCGCCAACACGUACUUUAUCUCUGCUUGGAAGUCCUAUUUAAGAAGCUGUACAGCUUGGAGUUUCCUCCAUCUUCCUUGCUUUGACUCAGUUUGGCAUUUAGUUUCAGAGUCAGUUUGCUCUCUAGGAAAGUUUUUUUCAGAUUACGACAGGGAGCCUGCUACCUAGGAAGAGAGGUGAAGUAUUCAAAGGCUAGCUAGCUAUUGGGUAGGGAGUCAUACCCGGAACAGAUACUUCCUUGAAGACAGAAUAUUAUUUCCUUUCUUGACUAUGCCACUUUGUGUCUAAAUGGUGCCGGCAGGCAAGCUUUUCACCACACAAGGUUGUAAGACGUCUGCCAAAUUGGAAUUCCUGAAAAAAGAAGACAACUUUCACAUUAACGAAAUGGUAAAGAACAUCUAAGUUUGGCAGGCAAGGACUGAGAUAAUGCAGGCAUAUUCUUGGUGCUGGGUUUUCUUCUAAUCUAGAUCGCCAACAUCCAGAUCUUAUUUUCCCCCCUUCAUCCUGGAGCAGUUCAGGCUUUUCUCUCCCAGUCUAGGAUGCCAAAUAAUUUUAUGGGCAACAAUAAUAGGGACUGACCAACGUUUCAAUUAGUUCUCUUGAGACUUCAUCCUUUGCUUUUCUCCAAGAAAGUGUUUUCCUGGACUGCUGAGAAAGAGCCUGGCCAAUUUUUUUCAUCUUUCCUAUUCGCAUAUUUCUACCCAAAUUAACAUUUUAUUAGUACAGGUACAAUAGAUUCUUUCUUGGUCAAUGAAUUCUUAUUAGAGAAGCUAUCCUUCCCCCAAAGUGACUGAGAACAAGUUCCAAUGUCUUUUAUUUCAUGGGCUUUUGUUCUCAGGAUUGAGUGAGUCCUGGCUGUUUUCUCACUUUAGGCCCUGAUCUCAAAUGUGUUUAUUUUGGGUACUAAAAACACGUCUUAGUAUCACAUGCUGGCCUGUGGAGCUUGAAUCCUUUCUUGCAAUCUGUUGGUUGCUUUGUGGUUUUAAAGGUGACUAAGAUGAGGGAAGGGAGGAAGAGGAAAAGAGAGAAGAAUUUGCCCCAGCUCUAUUUAAAGUUUUAAAAUGUAAAGAGACUUGUUAAGCCAUGGGAAAAUGGCUGUAGAGGGUUAACACUCCCCUCCCUCAUUCGGAGCCGUGUUCUGCCACACGACUCACAGGUCAGCUCUUCUAGAAAUCCAGCCUUGUUGUAGAAACCCAGCUACCUUUCAUAGACCUCUAUCCAGAUCCAAGAUGACAAGAAAUCAAAGAGUCAUGUGCACACCUCUUGUUCUGUUUUCCUGAUUUUUCAGAUAUUAUCUCCAAGAAAAUCACAGAAGAAAGCUUUACACUUUAUUGGUCAAUCCUUUUGACAUCGCUUCUCAGAUUUAAAAUCGGUAAAACAUACCCCUAAAACUUGCACUCCUUUUUAUUUUGAAAAAGAAAACACACACACUAGUUAAUCCACAUUCUUAUUUUCUUUACACCCUGAGCUAUAUUUCCAAAGCAUAUUCUAUCCCCGAUUUUGCCCCAUCUCAGACAUGUUAAGUCGGAAUGUGCUGCAAGAUUUUCCAGGGAUGGUCAACAGGGUAUAUGUUCAGUGGCUGCCCUGAAAUCCUGGUGGGGGUGAGGAUCACACACCAUUAUCGAGGGGCUGCUCACCCCUUGAUAAGCUCCCAAUCCUUUGAAAGAUUUCUUUGAAUGUUAACUGCAUUUUCAAUUUUGCUCAUUUCCCACUCUGAUGUUUUGUCCACGACAUUGCUUACACUGGAUUCUUUCUAUUUUUAUUCCUAUCAUUAAAUGGUAGUGCUGUAAAUUCUGCAAUUAAUGUCAAAUAAACUGCUUUCAUUCAUUGACCAUGGCUCAGUUGGCUUCUUUCUCUUUCCAUGGAAAGGAUUAAGCAUCCUUCCCCUAUUGCAUCCCAUCAUGGUUUCAUAAAGAACAGUAAAGUUGCUCUGCUUUAAAGAUUGCAACUUCUUUACCUCUGACAGGACGCAAGACACAUUUCAGAAUUAACAAAUCUGCCAACCGUGUUAUCAACCAUAAAGGUUUGGGGAUGCCCUGUAAAGACUGUCUUAUUCUUAACCCAUUAAAACAUUACAGAUGACCUAUCCUAACCUUGUCCUUAUACAGAUUGCAUUUGAGGUUGCAUGUGGUGAAUUAAAAAGGGGAUCCCUUUAUUGUCACCAUAUGGAAGAAUGAAAACAAACAAAUUUGGAGCCAGACACCUCAUAUGGAAUUUAGGCUCUGACAUAAAUUAUAUAGUUUUCAGGAAGUCACUUACACUCUCUGGGCUUCAAUUUCUCCAACAAGGUUAAGGUUAGGAUAGGUUAUAUCUGAAGCCCUUUACAUCUCUGUCAAGAGCUUUUGAAGAUAUUUAUAUUUUUGGCAUAGGUCAUAUCUUGGCAUAUUAUUUUUUAAAUUUAAUGAGUUACAGAGUUCUUUAAUCCAUUUUAAACUUAAAUAUCCCCAAGUGGCAAAGGAGUUCCACUGGACCUUUGGUCUAAAUGAAAAACCCACUUAUAACCCAGCCCAUGAAGCAGUUAGUGCCUUUAUCUAGGCUAGUGGUUUUCAAUUCUGGAUACAUUAGAAUGACCUAGAGAACUUUUAAAAUAUACUGAUACUGAGGUUCAUCCCAGACCAAUCAGAUUUGAUGGGGUGGACCCCAAAUACUUAUGUAUCAGUUAGCUUUUGUCAUAUAACAAACCGCUCUGAAACACAAUGACUUAAAAAAAAAACAAAAAAAAAACAACCACGUUCAUGGGACGCCUGGGUAGCUCAGCUGGUUAAGCGUCUGACUUUGGCUCAGGUCAUGAUCUGGCCAUUUGUGGGUCUGAGACCUGCAUCGGGUUUUGUGCUGACAGCUUGGAGCCUGAAGCCUGCUUCAGAUUCUGGCUCUCUCUGUCUCUCUGUCUCUCUGUCUCUCUCUCUCUCUGCCCCUCCCCCACUCAUGCUCUGUUUCUCUUUCUCUCUCAAGAAUAAACAUUUUAAAAAAUUAAAAAAAAAAAUGUUCAAACACACAUACACACUCAAAGAAGCCACCAUGUUGGCUGUCAAUUUGGACUGGUCUCAACUGGGUGUCUCUUCUUGUCUUGGCUGGCUCAUGUAUCUGCCCGUCAGCUCCCCAGGGGGACCGGCUCGGUCCCGCCCAGAUUCACAGGGAGAAGAGUGAAAAGAGACUCUAGAUCUUGAUGGGAAGAGGUGCACAAUCACAUUGCCAAAGGAGGAGUGAAAAACAUGCACUUUUUUUUUUUUGCAAUCUUCUAUAACCUAUACGUUUUAAAGUUCUCCUAGAGACUCUAAACGAAGGCCCAGCCAAAUUUGUAAAACACUACUGUAAAGCCUACUGGUUCUCCUUUUUUUUUAUUUUUUCACAACUCCAACCCUAAUCUGUGCCCACUCUUUCAAAUACCUUUACUGUAUAGCUUGGACUCAUUUUAUAAGAAAACUAUUUACAACUUCCAAACUUGUAGUGCAGGUUAUCACCUGUAGGCUGACUUUACAGGAUUGAAAAAAUCUGCCCAAACACAAUGAUUUAGAUGCUUGUUUUGUUGGUAAAUGAACUACCAGCCUCAGCUACUGGUAUCUGCCCACUAUUCCAUGUGCAGGGCUGGUGGGAGGCCCUGGGAAGGCAGGAGCUGUGCACGGAGCUCUUCCUGCUAGAAUACUCUGGAGGAAUUCUGGGCUACCUCAGGCACAUGCAGGGAAGAGCACUGGGCCAAGCACGACCUUGGGGCCAAUCAUGGAGAUCUUGAAAUAGCAUGGCCUUUGGUUCUAAGAUGGAAUCCUUCCUAUCUGCUAUCGGCAUCUUUCUUCCCCAAAUGGCAUGCCCUUAUUUAUUCAGGCUUCUGGACAAAGAAGACCAUCUUAGAGAACAAUAAACAUGUCUAAACUAGAUGAUCACCAAAACCUCUUCUACCUCUGCUAUCUUCUGCCUUGAAUAAUCCAUCACUGUUACUCAGAAAGUUAAACAGUGGCUAAAGCUGGAAAGUUUCAAGUCUCAGAGAUGUCUGGUCUCACUUUAGCCUCAUCAGGACAACAGAAACAAAAGAAAUUUGUAAUGUAGGUGGACCCUUUGAUUGACCCUUUGGAUUGGACUCAUUGGAGGGAAAUACUUUCUGUUUUGGGAAGCUUGUUGACAUGAGGCCAUCUGUCGAGACUUUGGUUGGAGUCAUUUGAUGGGAAAGGGUAUCCUUAAGUCAAAUACCCAAAAUUAUUUUUUUAAGUUUAUUUAUUUUUGAAAGAGACAGAGACAGUGCAAGCAAGGGAGGGGCAGAGAGAGAGGGAGAGAGAGAGAAUCCCAAGCAAGCUCCACACUGUCAGUGCCGAGCCCAAUACGGGGCUUGAACCCACGAAACUGUGAGAUCAUGACCUGAGCCAAAACCCCGAAUGAACCACCCAGGGGCCGCCAAAAUACCCAAAAGUAUUAGCCACAGUCCUUACAAAUCCCUUCUCUUACUUUUAUCUGUUCCCUGGACUCUUUAAUGGGGCGAUUUUUAAGAAGGGAAAGUACUUGUGAAAGGAAAAGAAAAAGCAGGAACAAAUUUCUGGAGACCUAUCAAGCAGGAGGAAACACUGGUCAGUCCACAACUGUUCAUGGAGAAUAAUUAUUUCUGGAAGUAAAAAUAAUGGUGGCAGCCAACCCUGGAAGCACUCACUAUGCCGUCACCUCCAUAACCCUCCUUCCUUGCAGUACAUGGCAACCUUGUGCAGUAGGCUGGGGCAGGGACCGUCAUGCUACAUGAGGCUACAUGGGUAGAACCAGAGUAAGUGGUAACACCAGCAUUCGGACCCAGACGUCAGAACUGACCCCCUUGGACCUAGUCAUUCAGUGUCGUAUGUACCACAGGGACCGGAGAUUCGCGUGGCACGCUUUCUCUGGUUGCAGCGAUAAAACAUACACCGUGAAAUCACUAUGUCUAUGGAGUCAUCUCUGCUAGAUGCCAAAUAAAUGGCACAAACAAUCAAAAACUGCCCAGAAUUCAGAAGAAAUGGGGAUCACCCCAAACUGGGCCGCUCAAAAAAAGGCCUCUCUCGCCUCAUGUAGGUUUCUAAGUACUACAUUUUCUUAACACAUUCAGCUGAGCACCACUCAAGCGUGGCCAAGUAAUCUGGAUUUGGAGGAAGAGAUAACAUCCCUCUCCCCACAUAACCAACCUCAAAUGCACAGUAUGUUCUUCACAUGAUUAAUAUUUAGAUGUCUGCAUCAUGUUUCCAUUUUUACUUGAGCUCUCGCAUGGGAGGGAAACCAGGGUUUUGAGUCAGAAGAUCUGAACUUAGGCGCCAGGUCCACCUCUUGCUAACAUAGGCAAGUCACUUAAAUUCUCUGAUCUUCAAUUUUCCUAUCUACUGGGCAUAAGAAUAUGACAAUAUGCUACUGUCCUGCCUAGUUGGCAAAGUUAUUGCAAACAUCAGGCAGCGUGAUAGGUAUGGAUGUGAGCUACUGAAGAUAGCUAUCAUUUCAUAAAAAUAGAAGUCUGAGGCUCAGAGAGGUUAGGUAACUUGCCCUGGACAACACUAGUGGAGCUAGGAUAUUUGAGCCCAGGACUAUCCGUUUCAAAGCCCACCUGAAAAUGCCUAUUUAAACGUAGAUUCCCCAAGGAAAGGAGAGCCAUGUUGUGGCAUCUGUACAAGUGCAUACCUGUAAAUACCAUGUCAUAAGAUGUUACUUAACAAUUAGCCCCGACAAUAGAGGUGUAACUGGUAGAAGAAUACAUUCGCUUGUUUUUUUUUUUUUAAGUUUUUUUUUGAGAAAGACAGAGAUGGUGCAAGUGGGGGAGGGCAGAGAGAGAGGGAGACAGAGAAUCCCAAGCAAGCUCCGCCCUGCUGGCUCAGAGCCCAACACGGGGCUUGAACUCACAAAAUCCUGACCCGAGCCGAAACCACGAGUUGGACACUUGACUGAGCCCCUAAACUCACUUGUUCUGCCCUGCAAGAACUAUUCAUAAAAAUUGUCAUGAAUUGACUAAGCCAAUUUGGUCCUAUACAAAAUUUGGGUUCUUUGUGGUUGCUAAUCAUAGCCACCCAAAGUCUCUGAGAUGGGCAAAAGUUAUCUACAUCCCCCAAACUCCCUGUCAGAUUGUAAAGAAAGUGAGUCUAAGACCAAAUACUGCCACAUAGGAGAAUUUAACCAAUUCUAUUGAGCAAAUUAGUCACUACGCUACGUAUAUUACCUGCUGUAUAACCUCAAUGAAGUCUGAGUUCUCUGUCCUACAGGGACCUCUAUCCAUAUUCUAGACAGACCCAGCAACAUUCCAGAGGCAGGCUUUCAUUAGCCCUUGGGCAGCAUCAGACAAAAAGCAACUUCCUCAACCAAGGAUGGAACACAGGUCUUCUAGGGAUCAGACCUCCUGCAUAUUCCCCAACAGUGCACGCUGAAGGUGCCACUGGACUCUUACACCCUAUGCACGCAAAGGAGGGUGGGAGGGGCUCUCCAACCCAAUUACCUUCAAUACCUUUAAUCUCUCACACCAGGGUCCAUUUGUCACACUUCUCAUGAUAAUCAAUGGUCUACUAUUUUCACCAUUAAAACGCCACCUCUGCAUUCAUUAUGCUAAUGAGCAGAACGGGUGCUGACUGAGAUGGUGGCUGAAGAGUACUGGUGUGAGUGGUGGCUGUCCUGCCCUUCAGAAACGCUGGUCACUCACCAUCCAAGGCUGCGCACCCUUGACGAGGACGAUUUACUGCCCCCAGACUGAAGCGUGAACAAGCUGACACACAUUACUGAACUAUCCGUGCUAAUGUCUCUUAAAAUGAGUCACAGUCAUUACAACCAAAGUCCAUGUUUUUUUUUUAAUUUUUAAUGUUUUUAUUUAUUUUUGAGACAGAGAGAGACAGAGCGUGAGUGGGGGAGGGGCAGAGAGAGAGGGAGACACAGAAUCCCAAGCAGGCUCCAGGCUCCGAGCUGUCCACACAGAGCCCGACGCGGGGCUCGAACCCACGAACCGUGAGAUCAUGACCUGAGCUGAAGUUGGACGCUUAACCAACUGAGCCACCCAGGCGCCCCCCAAAGUCCAGGUUUUAUCCACAUCCUAUGUUAGAAAAGACUGGAGAGCAUACGUUAAUUUCAAUAUAAGUUACAAUCCUUUAUAUCGCAUUUAUUCAUCUCAUUUUCCUCCACAACCUGGAGCACGCAUAUUAUUAUCCCCAUUGAAUAAUUAGGUGCCAAGAGUUUAAAUCACCUUCUUCACACUCAUCUAAUCACAGUUGAGGUGGACGAAUAUUUACUAUGUGCUGGACAUUGUGCUGAACACUUUACAUGGUUUGUCUUUUGUUCUCCCAACUACUUAUGAGGCAAGUACUGUAAUUAUCUCCUACAUCACAGAUGAAGGAACUGGUGCAUAGAGAUGAAGUAACUUGCUACAGGUCACCGCGAAGCAGCCUGACUCCAGGGCUAAGCUCUUAUCCCUGUAGUUUCCUUCAGUUUCGAGCAGAACUUAGAUUAGUACUGACAGCUGGGGACUCCUACUCCCGCGUUCUUUCCACAGGAAAUCCUGAUUGCUAAGAAGCAGACGUCUGUAGAAGUGAAGGUAGUUCAAACGCCCUUCCAACAUCUCUACAAAAUGUGUUCGCAGCUUGAUGUUAUAGUUGAUGGCCAUUCAGAAGCUGUUCCCAUUUCUGCUCCCAUUUCUGUGUCUUCACUUCACCCUUGGGGAACUCCAUCCAGGACAUGUGUCUAGAACUCUGGGGAGCUGACGCCGAUGAUGUGGGACUUCCCAACCACCGACAAGCAGACAGAGCGGGAAUAAGAGUUCACUCUCGGCUGUGGGUACACGGAGAACCCACGAGAGCGAAUUUUUAAAGGAUACUAAUAGAGCUGCAAAACUGAAACCACAAAGAAAGCAGCUGGCGUUGGGAUGAAGCAGUGGCUACAAAUACAUCUCCUACCAGAACUAUUUUGGAAUCACCUCGUCUGAGCUUUCAAUGGUCCUCACCGUUACCAUCAUUGAUAUUGUCACCACUACCUUCACCUGUACCACUCUGGCUCGAUUUUCAGACCAGUAAAAAAUCCUCCCGUCUUCUCCCGAAUUCGGAACGGAUUGAGAAAGAGACAUAGAAAUUAAAGUCUUUUUUAAAAAUCCAUUUCAUUGGUAGAUAUGGAUUGGAGAACAUGCAUUGGAUUUGUGACCAAAGGGGUUUCCUAAUGUAAUCCUCCUGAACUGAACUUACCCCCCCAAACUGCCGGCCAACCUUUCCCUCUUUUCAGUCCCGCUUUCCUCACUCCUCAUGGGGGUUGCUCCCCAAAGCACCUCCCGGUAAACCUGCAUGUGGAUCUUGGGUCUCUGGGUCUACCUCCCAGAGAACCUAAUCGAACACACCUGCUUAUAUGCCUUCCUUCACUCCACUCUCCCCUCCCCUCCCCUAAAUAAAACACACAAACUUGGCGAGGAGGAAGGAAAGGGGAGGAAAUCUAAGAGACUCAACUAUUUCCUAAAGCAGACUGUUUAAACAAGAGACUGAGAUAUUAUGAAAUGGUAAAACUAAGUUCCUAACAUGUUCCCCAAAACAACUGGAAAGGGCUCCUGAAGAUUAGAAAUAGAAAAUUAAGAGGCUCUAUCCUUUUUAAACAUGUAAGAUGUAAGCUGAACUAAAACUGAAGGGGGAUCCAAAUUGGACAAAGGCUGAAGGUUCUGGGUGCUUGAGGCCACCUAGCAGCGUGGGAGGCAUUGCUGUGGGCCAGGACAUCUCCCAAGAGAAGGACACAGCUGUCCUCAGCCUGUGUGCGGAUGUUGGGGAUGGAAACAGCGUAUGAACUGCUGACGGUGGAGAGAAAGUUGGGAAAUCGUUGCUGUUCUUGAGCAUAUCUUACAAAACUAGUAUCUUUCCAAUAAUUUUCUAAGGCAAUACGUUAACACGAUGGUUAUGACCGCAAUGAACAGAUGUUAAAAGUAGCGUGAAAGCAAAUCAUGAAACAAGAGACAACAUCAGCAAAGGAAGUAGCCCCCUUUUCACAUGCUCACACUCCCAAUGAUAAUGGCUCAGGCCACCCCAUCCUGCUUAGCCUUGCUCCCUCCUCACCCGGCUGUUGGAAUAUGACCGGUCCCCUGGGAGUGGAGAUUUGGGGUGUGAAUUAGUAUUCUACUGCUGCAUAACUAAUUAGGGCAAACUUAGCAGCUUAAAACAACACUUAUUAUCUUCCGGAGGCCAGCAGUCCAAAGGUAUAGGCAGGGCCAUGUUCCCUUGGAUGGUGCCAGGAAAGGACCUGUUCCAGGCUGCUCUCUUAGCUUCUGGCGGUUUGGGGCAAUCUUUUCAUUUCUUGGUUUUUAGACACACAUGGCUGUAAUAUCUACUUUCACAUGUUCCCAGGAUGUUAUCUCUGUGUGUAUGGGUCCAAAAACCCCCUUUUCUUAUAAGGACACCAGUCAUAUUGCAUUAGGGGCCUGCCUACCUUAUUCUUGUAUGAACUGAUCUUAACUAAUUGCAUCUGCAAUGACUCUAUUUCCCAAUAAGGUCACAUGUGGGGUACCAGUAUUUAGGGCUUCAACAUAUGACUUUUUGGAGGAUACAAUUCAACCCCUAACACUCAGUAUGAGUCAUUUGACAGCUGAACUUUGAUCAAGACCUCUUGGUUCCAUGGUUAAUUAAUUAGUCAUUUAUACUUUUUCUGCUUCAGUUUAGAUAUUGUAAUUUGCUCUUAACAUUUUGCAGAAAGAGAAGAAAGGAGAAAGAUAAGAGGAGAAACAGGAAGCGAGGAAGGAGAAGGAGGAAGGGAAAAAGAGAAGCGAGUGAGGAGAGGGAUAGGGUGUCACUUGCUGUAAUACUGUAGGGCCUGGAUCCCAUAUGGAUUAAAUUGUAUGACAUUAUAUGUUUGUCAAGAGCUAAAUUUCACAAGAUCUAAAAUACUCUGCCCGUGGGUUUUAUGGCAAAUGAAGGCUGAACAGGCCUCUUUCCCCCCCAACCUGCCCCAUCUACAAUUAGAGACAUUGCUUUCCUUGAAAAAUCGCCCAAGGUAAAAUAUCGGUGUUCUCUACGAUCCGCUGUGAGGUCAAAUCCAGAGCCAUGGGCAGCUUCCAAAACCAUUUUCUGCCCACACUUACUCAUGGCUGGCCACCACCCCUCCGCUGCCUCUCUCCUAGCCGGACCUCGGCCUGCUCAGCAUCCUACAGCGAGAGGAAGGUCAAGAGUGUAGGUCUUGUGGCACUUCUGCUCCACGGGGUGAGAGUGGCCCGCAUCCACCGACAGGGCAGAGCAGAGCAGAGCAGAAGACAAGAGGCCCCGGGUCCUUGUCCUCCAUGAGCUGAGGAAAGGCAUGUCCUCCAUGACCCACUGUACCAGAGGCACCGCCGCUCUCCCCUCAGAGAAGUAGCUGUAUCUUCCAGAACAAAUCUAGUCACGUAGAACUCAGGAUUAAGUCAAGCUGAGGGUCUACGAAGCAAAGAACACGUCUGUCCCUCCUGCAUGCACAGUGGAGUGGACAGAUGCCUCUGUGGUGCGUGACCGGGAAGUGCUAACCACUCUGAUGCCAAUGCCUGAAACCCCACCGUGCCCAAGGUCCUCUUUUGCGUUAACUAUUGCCCUCUUUGCAUCCUCAAUUUGAGUUUAUUCACUUUUCCCAUAAAGCCCAUGUCCUGCAUAUAUUCUUUCAUUCAUUUAUCUUUGCUCGCUGUGCCAGUGGUUCUCAGCCUGGGUGGUUUUCCCCACCAGGAGGCAUUUGGCAACGUCCAGGAACGUUGUCGGGUCUCGCUACUGGCAUCCAGCGGGGAGGCCAGGGAUGCGGCGAAACAUCCUACGAGUUACCAGGCAGCCCUGCACAGCAAAGAAUCCUCCAGUCUGAAAUGUCAGCAGUGUCAAGAGGGACACACUCCAGUCUGUUCCCAUAGCAACACUAUGUGGGUUUUUUGUUUUUUGAUUUUUUUUGUUGUUGUUGUUGGUAGUUGUUCAUAUAAAAUGUGUACUGUUGGGCGCCUGGGUGGCUCAGUCAUUAAGCAUCUGACUUUGGCUCAGGUCAUGAUCUCAUAGUUCAUGAGUUCGAGUCCCACACUGGGUGAGCCUGAGCGCCACUUCUGGUGAGCACAAGGCCCACUUGUGCUGGGUGAGCCCUGGGUGAGCCCCACUUCUCUCCCUCUCCCACUCGCUCCUUGUGGGAUUCUCUCCCUUUCUCUCUCUCUCUCUCUGUCUCAAAAAAUGUGUAUUUUGGGGGCAUGCAUUUUCAAUUUAUGUAAAUGAUACUGCAUUAGAGCUCUUGUUCUGUUUCUUAUAGUUUUCAUUCAUCACCCAAUUUUUAAGAUCAUUUAUGUUGCUGUGUAUACUCCGAUCCACUGGCUUUGUUACAUGGUAACCCGCAGAGGGCAUCACCACAUUUUACCCAUCCACCGCCCCCCCCCCCAGAUUGAUUCCCACUCCCAGCCACCAUAAACACUACUUCAGGGAGUAUCCUUGGGAAUGGCCGCAUACUGCCCAUGUGAGAAUGUCUGUGGGGUCAAUACCAGGAGUGGAAUUGCCGGGCAUAAGGUAGGUGUAUACAGUUCAUUAGACUGAGUAUGACAGACUACUCUCCAGAAGGGCUACCCCCGUCUACACUCACAUCAGCAGCAUGUGGGUCUUCUCAGAGCCCUUCAUUUGAAAGGUAUUCUCUUUGAAAACACACCCAUGUUAAGAUUAGCAUAUUAAAUCACCAUCACAUUCAGGAUGAACUCAUUUCAGCAGGCCAUCUUCCUUACAGGAGGUAACUUCACUGGCCUGAGUGCCAUGAAUGAAAUGGCUCAAAGCAAAAAGAGGAGAUGGUGGGGGGGAACCCAAAGAUAGACUUCUACCCAGGAGAAUUUCCUUCACUUAUAAUGGGCUACCAUCCAUUUGGGUGGGCCGUUGGGUGUCACUUUCUAUUAAAUUUGUUUUCUUAACUUCUAAGAUAAUUUUAACUUGAAGGAUGUUUCCUUUUUCCAAAAACAGCUUCAAGCAUAAAUCAAGAGGAACCACCUAGAGAAACAGAAGCGUGUUGGAGACCAGACUCUUCUGAGAGGUGCUUGUGCUCCUUUGUGAUAUUACUCAUGCUUAAGUCAUUCGGUUUGCUCAUGGGACAUGGAGAUCAAUAAAGC
Molecule: long non-coding RNA, 67931 nt
Filed under: Lynx pardinus (Iberian lynx)
Lineage: Eukaryota; Metazoa; Chordata; Mammalia; Carnivora; Felidae
Source: RNAcentral